Molecule: long non-coding RNA, 59741 nt
Filed under: Hordeum vulgare
Lineage: Eukaryota; Viridiplantae; Streptophyta; Magnoliopsida; Poales; Poaceae
Description: long non-coding RNA (HVUL_LNC009681)
Source: RNAcentral
UUGAGACAUGUGGAGUGAAUUCAACCUGAGCGGUACUGAUCUGUUGAGCAAGUAAUGAAUCGUUUUCCAUUCGAAGAUCAUCAUGAGACAUCUUCAACUUCUCAAGAUCAAGUUUCCUUUGAAUAAAUUCAUAGGAAAGUUUCUCAUGAUCAGCCAAGAGUGUGCCAUAACGAUCUUGAAGACUAUCAAAUCUGGACUGAAGACAUAUCUUCAGUGAGGAUUUGGGUAUGAUACAUUUCAUCAUUUAACAGGUCAUCGCUUUUGUCUAGCAGUUUUUGAAGCCUUUCAAUGGCAGUUUGUUGUUUAGUUGCAAUGUUGGCAAGUUUACAGUAACUGGAUUUUUUAUAAUCAUCAGGUUCACAAUCACUUGAAUCAGAGGAGGAAGUGUCAUUCGGUACCUUUGAACCUUUUGCCAUGAAGCAAUAGGUUGGAGCGAAGUCACCAGCAUAGUCAUCAGCGUAGAUAGCAUUGUCAUUUUCUUCAAGAUUGAAGAUUGACUUGUUCACGAAUGUGGUAGCCAGUGCAAGACUUGCCACACCAUACUCUGAGUCUUCUUCAAAACCUUCCUCUUCAUCACAUUCCUCAAAUUCUUCCUCAGAAUCCAUUUCCUUGCCAAUGAGUGCCCGAGCCUUUCUGAAACUAGUCUUCUUGUGCGACGAGGACUUUGAGGAUGAGGAUUUUGAAGAUUUCUUCUUUUUCUUCGAGUCAUCAGAACUUUCAUCCUUGUAUUUCUUCUUCUUUGAUUCCUUCACACAACGAGGACAAUCAACAAUGUAGUGACCAGAUUUCUUGCAUUUGUGGCAGGUUCUUUUCUUGUACUCCUCAGAUGAAGAUUUUGAUUUCCUCAUAUCUCUUCUUGAAGAUUUACCAAAAUGGCCCCGCCUAGUAAACUUCUGGAAUUUCCUCACGAGCAUUGCAAGCUCCUGUCCAAGUUCUUCAGGAUCACCAAUGUUGCAAUCUGAGUCUUCUUCUUCAGAUGAGGAAAUUGCUUUGGCCUUCAGUGCACGAGGUCUAGAGUAGCUUGGUCCAUACAAAUCUCUGUUUUCUUCCUGGUGAAAUUCAUGAGUAUUGAGUCUUUCGAGUAUGUCAGCAGGAUCAAGCAUCUUAUAGUCUGAUCUUUCUUGAAUCAUCAGAACUAGUGUAUCAAAUGAUGAAUCCAAAGAUCUUAGCAGUUUCUUCACAACUUCAUGGUCAGUAAUGUCUCCAGCUCCCAGUGCUUGCAGUUCAUUUGAGAUGUCAGUGAGGCGAUCAAAGGUAUCUUGGCAGCUUUCAUUGUCAAGCCUCUUGAAGCGAUUGAAGAGAUUGCGAAGAACAUCAACACGAGAGUCACACUGAGUUGAAAUUCCUUCAUUGACUUUGGACAACCUAUCCCAGAUAAGCUCCGCUGAGCCCAAAGAACUCACUCUGCUAUACUGACCUUUGCUCAGAUGGCCACAUAUGAUAUUCUUUGCUUGAGAAUCAAGGUGCUUGAAUUUCUUCACAUCAGCGGUAGAGACAGUAGCAGCAAUGGAGGGAAUACCAUGUUCCACAAUGUACCAGAGAUCAUUGUCAAUAGCUUGAAGAUGCAUCUGCAUCUUGGUCUUCCAGUAGGGAAAGUCCUUUCCUUCGAAGGUUGGACAUCCUGCAGUAACCUUGGUCAUACCCGCAGCCGACAUAACUAAAACUCCAUGUGGUUAAACCAAAAUCACACAGAACAAGGGAGUACCUUGCUCUAAUACCAAUUGAAAGUGCGUUAUAUCAACUAGAGGGGGGGGGGUGAAUAGCUGAUUUUUAGAAUUUCAUCACUGAGGAAAUUCCUUUUGAGGAAAUUCCUCACUGAUGAAUAACGUGCAACAGAAACAGCGCAGGAUCAGAGGUGAGAAGAUUACAGCAACAAUUUUCUUGAUGAAGAUUAUGAAAAACAGUUUGCACAGUAUGCAAGCACAAAAUAUGCAGGUGAAGAUUAACUGGUAUGAAGAAUUUGAGGUUGAGGAAAUUCAGAGAAAGUCUUCAGCAAAUUCUUCAAUGAAAUUCUUCAACAUACAAUAUUGAGGAAUUGAAAGAGUUGAAGAAAUAGAACCCAUAUCACAAUGAAGACAAUUGUUGAUGACCCAGUUUGAACUGCUGUGACAGUCGUACGUCUGGUGUGGAGCGGCUUGGUAUUGAAACCAAAGGACACACAGUCCCGGGACACACAGUCCCUACCGUAUUCUCCUUGAGCUAAGGACACACAGUCCUCGCCCAACACUCUUGGUAAGUCUUCAGGGCAGACUUCCAAACCCUCACAAACUCGGUCAUCCGGCAAUCCACAAUUGACUGCUGGAUUGCUCUAGACCAUGACACCUAACCGUCUGGAGGAUGCACAGUCCUCAAAGGUAAAAGGCUUCAUUUCCACACAGGAACAAAUUCUUCAGUGAUGCUCAAUCACUUGGUUUUUGGUUUGUGGUUUGGUGUUUGGGGUAUUACCUCACUUGAUGAUUUACUCUUGAAGACUCCGAGGAAUUUGGGUUGCUCUAAAUGACAAGUGUCAGUUUCUCACCGAGUAGCCAACUAGCUAGUGGUUGUGGGGGCGGCUAUUUAUAGCCUGGGAGCAUCCCGACAUGAUUUGACAUAAAUUCCCUUAAAUAUUUUGACCGUUGGUGUGGAUAAGAUCGGUGAGGUGGCGCGAAUCGCGGCAACGGUCGGGACUCUCAACUGUGAGAGUCCUCAUGUCUCUCAUAUUCCUCACUUGAGGCUUUUGUAGGAUUAGGCUUGGGUUGAGCAUUAUGAGGAAAUUCAUUCCGUAGUAUUACCUCGACCCCUUUUAACAGUACGGCGUUCCUAUGACUCAAGAGUGAAGAAAAUGAAACAAAAAGAAUAAAUCUUCACACUUCAAAGUCUUCAGGCUGAUUUUCUUCAGGACACACCGAAUUCCUCAUCUUCAAUAUCUUCAUGAGAAAUAUCAAUUUCAUCGCAAUUUCUUCGCGAUCAAAAUCUUCAGCAUAAGACCAAUUUCUUCAGCCAAAGAUAUACAUUGUUAGGGGUCGAUAUUCAUCGUAUAACUCAAACUCCUCAGCGACUUAUAGAGCCUGUGUACACUUAUAAACACAUUAGUUACUUAACCUAUAAGUAUUCAAACCACCAAAAUCACUAAGAGCAUUAUAUGCACUUACAGGGUUGACCACUGAAAAACGUUGCCCUUGAGGUGGUCAGUCCUUGCAUUCAUGCUCCUUGAGUCCUUGGGGUGGCAAGGAGUAGUUGUGUCGAAAUACGUCCUCCGAACGGGAGGUUUCAAAGCCAGUGAAAUAAGAAACGCCAGAGAAGGUUUCCCCCUUUUUUUAUUUUUCAAACAUCGGGCAUUAAGACUGGAAAAAACCAACUCAAGAAAUCAGACAGUUCAAACUCAGUGGAAAAUAGUUCGAAUCCAAGAGAAGGCAAGCAGGUGCCGCGUCCGACAUUUAAAGCUAGCAUAGUGAUUGGAGGACUAUAUGGGUUUCCUUGCUAGCUGCGAACAUGAUCAUUCGCAGGCCAUGCUAAUUAUCUUUGUACCCAGCGCGGAGCUAAGGUCUUCCACUAGGCGUCGGGUGGACCUCUUCCAUGUCCUCGGGGGGCCUUGGGCAUAUACAGCCUCGGCUCGUUAUUACGUGAGAUUAUCACGGUGGGGGUGUAUACGGGAGGUCGCGAGGACGCUUUGGCCUCGCGAGUGUCCCUACCUCCGAGGCAUUGGGGCCGGAGCUUCUAAAGUCAUUAGGGGACUGUGUUGUACCCAACGCGGAGCUAUGGUCUUUCACUUGGCGUGGGGUGGACCCCUUUCGCAUCCUCGCGGGGCCCUGGGCAUAUACAACCCCGACUUGUUAUUACGUGAGAUUUUCAUGGGAUGAAGUAGGUUCCAGAAGGAUUGCAGGAUGAUGCAGAGGUGCGAUGGGUUGAUGCAGGUCUUGCGUGCUCGCGCUCCAUCCCUCGAGGCCUAUUAAGGGCUUUUUAUGACUCUACGUUGACAGGUCCGAGUCCCGCACAUUUCCCUGCCGUCGUGAGGCGCCUCACGAGGCUAGGCCCCGACAUCCCCUGAUACCGACCAAGCCUGGACGACACCAGGGUGGCCGAGUGGCAUUGUGACUGGUAAGGCUCCUGAGGCGCGAUGCUCAGGAGCCACCUUUAAUGUUUGAGCGGCUCUACGUCGCUAAGAUCUAGUCCCGCACAUUUCCCAACCGCCAUUGCGUGUGAUCGAAUGAAAGGAUGUAGCUACGGGGUCAAGUCCUGCCUCCCCUAAUAACGACCGAAUGUCCGUGGAUGAUAUCAAGGGCGACAGGUGGCCUUAUGACCGGUAAGUCUCCUCGGGCACGAUGCUCAGGAGCCCCUCUUUGAUGCUCAAGCAACUCUGCGUCGUCAGGACCUGGUCCCGCACAUUUCCCAACCGCCGCUUCUUGUGACCGAAUGGACGAUCUUAGUUGUGGGGCCAAGCCCCACCACCCGUGAUAACGACCAAGUGUCCUUGGACGAUAUCAAGGAUGGCAGGUGGCCUUUUGACCGUUAAGGCUCCUGGAGCACCAUGCUCUGGAGCUCCCUUUGACGCUCAAGCGACUAUAGUUUUAUCCUGUCGACUGUGGUCCUGAGGGCCGUGGGGCUCCCCAUUCCCCGCAUUGGGGCGAUGCAUUGUGGCCGGUUCCCCCAAAUGGGAAAAGGUGGAUCACCGAAGGACACAAGCAAAGCAGCAUGUCAUGUCACCAAGUGGACGCAAUGGAAAUUGUAAAAGAUACGACUUGCAGGAGUAUGCCUCGAGCAGUUUGAAGUCCCUCCGAUUAGCAGACACUCCUUAAGGCAAUAGAUCCAAAAAACUUACCUUGCUGGAUGGUUGAAGCCCCCUUGCGUCUGAGGAAUGCCUUGCGGGACCAGGCCCCCGACGCCCACACCUGCAUCGUGGUCAUCGCGGGUGAUCUGUGCCUUCUCGCACCUCGUCAUGGCGUUCGACUCGUCCUUCUGAGGCCCAUUGUUUUGGCCCUACGUAACCCUUUCACGAGGAAAGGCAGCUAGCGCCAUGCCCCGCGGCUUGAGGGCGCCUCCCUGCCCGCGUCCUUCGGGCUCGGCUCAAGGAGGAGCCGCCAGACGCUCCCCACUCCUCAGGUGGAUAGACGCCCUGAGGGGACGCCUCGAGCUCUUAUUCGUCGGGAGGAUUAGGUAGUGCCGCAUACUCUGGCACAUACGGCUCCAUGUAGUUUCUCGCCCGUCCACCCCGGUCGGUCAUCAGUGCGACGGUGGCGGUCCCUCUUGGUGGUGGAGGGGGCGGUCCCUGCCGUACUGCUCGGAGAUCUUCCUGCGACAAGCCUCCGUGAAGUCACUUGUUCCUGUUGCCGUCGUGGGCUGGUCCUGGCGCAGCCCGAUGUUGAUUCCCUCCCUGGUGUCCCAUCAUGUCUCCGUUGUCGUAGUUCGUCUGCGCCAUCGCCUCCACCUUCUGCUGGCAGCGCCUAAGGGAGCUUUCCUGUCUAGCCGCCUUGGGCUGUCGAGGGCCGACCUGGUCUCGGUGAUGCGCACCAGCGUGUGCGUCGGUGGCGCCGCCUUCUUCCUUGCGUCCCUGGUGGUUUUCGGCGCGGGGCGCUUCAUGGCCAGUCGCUGGGGUCUGGAGAAGGUGGAGGGCAGCGUGAAGCGCGUCUCUCUCAGCCCCGCCCAGGGUAGGCAGGCCCUUGAAGCUUGCAGGCUAUAGGGCCGGCACGCGGUGCGAACCCCCGGCGCCCGGCGCUUGUGGCCUUGAGGAUGCACUAGGCUGGAUGGUCUUCUGGGCGAUGGCGAUUAGCUCCAUGAUGUGGUCCACCCAGGCAUCGAAGCCUCCUGGUGUCGGUUGUUGGCGGAGCAUCUCUCUUGCCAUCCGCAACGCUCGUCUGUGUUGAGGUCCCCAAGUUGAUGCGGCGCACUGCGGGUGCCUAGGCCGCCGCCUAGCCACCAUGCGUCUGGGUGACCCGAGUGACCGUCCUGGUGGCGGCGAUGUUGACGUCUUGGUAUGUGCCGCCUGGUCCCGCGACACCGGCAUGCGAGCUUCCGGCCGCUGUGACAUGGUGGUCAGAAACCAGCUCGGCGAGGCUGGUCAGUCGCCGGCCAUCGGCGCAACGAUGUGGGAAAGAGAAAGCUAGGAGAAAGCCUCAACACGCCCCUACCUAGCGUGCCAAAUGUCGGAUUUCGGGCUCCGCAAAACCCUUAAGGAUUCGAACACAGGGGCGUGUACGACGAUCUCUCUCGGCUUGACCUGACCUAGCCCACUACUCGAUGGGAACGGCGAAGAACUCACUCGAAGGUGAGGUGAACAAAUAACACAAUAGUUUACCCAGGUUCGGGCUACUGCGAAGCGUAAAACCCUACUCCUUCUUUUGGUGGAUUGCCUCUCACAGAGGUUGAUGAAUGAACUAGUACAGUGCUCUCGAGCUUCCGGAGGCCAAGUGGCUAGGUGUGUUGUUCUAGGGUUUCGAUGAUCCGAUCCCCCUGCCAAGUGUUCUACCCCCUCUAUUUAUAGUGGACGCGAGGGUUCUCUUCCCUUUUCGUAGGCGGGAAGGGAUCCCACAACGGCCAGUUUCGGUGGGAGACAAGGGAACAUGCCUCCUGUGUCAAAAGUAGUCUUCGAUUACAAAGCCGCUGCCAGCAUCGUAGAGGUGAGCACACGGAUGACGUCCGUCCUGUCGGCGGGCGACAAUGGUCUUGUUGCACCGGAAGGGAAACCUUUAGGACAUGCCUUUGGAGUCCUGAUUAGCUCCCACCUUCUUUGCAAUAAAGGGGGAACUGGCCUGUCCUGCCACCUUCUGAUCGCCUGCCCUUCCAUGGUGUCAUCCUCGACUUUUAAGGCCCGAUCUUGCCUUGAAAUAUCCGCCGCUCCGGAGGGGUCCUGAGGAUCCCCCCUGCGCGUCUUGAUGUCACUCUUCCUCGCGAGGCUUGGACCUUCGCGAGGGCCUUGUUCAGGGUGGUGUUGUUCCUUGCCGAUCUUGUAUUGAUGGAGUGGGCCCGCCUUGGGUCGCAGGCAGGCAGGUCUGGGUACCCCGGCUCCCAAAACGCCGAUAGAUACAAACCAAAGGUUUUCUCGAUCCAACUAACACUGGUAAAAUAUGCAAGCUCAAGAGAUCCAUUUAUGGAUUGAGGCAAGCAACUCGGAGUUGGGAUAUUCAUUUUGUUGAUGUCGUUGUUGACCUUGGUUUCAUCACGAAUGAAGAGGACUAUUGUUUAUACAAGAAGUCUAGUGGGAGCUUGGUAGUAUUUUUGAUCUUUUAUGUGGAUGACAUACUACUGAUCGGAAAUGAUGUUUCAAUGCUGAACUAGGUCAAGGAAUUAUUGAAUCGCAAGUUUUCAAUGAAGGGCCUUGGAGAGGCAAUGUACAUUUUAGGCAUCAAGAUCUACAGAGAUAUAUCGAGGAGGCUGCUCGACUUAAGACAGAGCACGUACAUAGACAAUGUGUUGAAGCGAUUCAACAUGAGUGAGGCCAAUAAAGGGUUCUUGCCCAUCUCACAUGGUAUAAGGCUAAGCAAGACUCAGUGUCCUAUGACUUCUGAUGAGUGAAACCGGAUGAGUAGGGUUCCAUAUGCUUCGGCAAUAGGAUCCAUCAUGUAUGCCAUGCUAUGUACACGACCUUAUGUUGCCUAUGCAAUAAGCUUAACAAGCAGAUACCAAGCCGACCCAAGUGAGAGUCAUCGGGCAGCGGUGAAAUCUAUCUUGAAGUACCUGAAAAGGACUAAAGAGAUGUUCCUAGUAUACGGAGGUGAGGAGGAGCUCAGCAUAAAGGGUUAUGUUAAUGCUAGUUUCCAAACCGACAGGGAAGAUUGUCGAUCCAAACUGGAUUCGUGUAUGUCAUGAAUGGAGGAGUAGUGAUGUGGAUGAGUUCCAAGCAAGAUACGGUGGCCGACUCCACAAGAGAGGCUGAAUACAUUGUGGCUUGUGAAGCUCCAAAGGAAGGUGUUUGGAUUCGGAAGUUCCUGGAGGACAUUGGUGUGUUCCCGGCUGGUCAAAACCGUUGGACCUUUAUUGCAAUAAUUCAGGUGCCAUCGCACAUGCCAAGGAGCCGAGACAACACCACAAGACUAGGCACAUAGACCGAAAGUAUCACCUGAUACGAAAGCUCGUAUAGAAUGGUGAUACUAAUUUAUGCAAGAUUCACACGAAUGUAAAUAUCACAAAUCCUUUGACUAAGCUGCUUCCACAACCCAAACACGAGGGGCACGUUAGAGCUAUGGGCAUUCGAUGUCUAUUUUAUUGACACUAGUGCAAGUGGGAGACUGUUGGAGAUAUGCCCUAGAGGAAAUCAUGUAUGAUGAUAUUUCCUAUGUCUUUAUGAAUAAAUAUAGUCCUUGUACAUUAUCAAUGAUGUGUAUUAACAAGUGCGUGACUUGUUUGUGAGACUAUGCAUUAUAUGAUGAUUGUCCUAAAUCGUCCCUAGUCAAAAGAGUUAUGUGGACGUGCAACCAACUACACUGGCAUAUGAUAUGGUGGAUGGUCAGGUCUCACUGUCCAUGUAGCAUUGGAUUCUAGUCGGAUAAUAUGGACUCAAAAAGAUCUGGUUGGGUUUAACGUAGUCGGAUCUGAGUCGAGAUAAGGUGUGAGUUGGACAGACCCAACUAUGAGACGCAGCGAUAGUUCAUCUAUGAGUCUCUAAUACAACAUAUUUUCUAUGUCCUAAGACUUGAGCUGGCGCAUGUACUGAGGAUGGUGAUAGACUUGCUUUUGGCUGACCAAACACUACUCCAUGGUUGGGUAGUUACAAAGGUAGGUUUCGGGCUUGUCCACACCCAUGCUGCGAGAUGUGGUCGAGCAAGAUGGGAUUUGCCCCUCACACUAGGAGAGAUAUAAUCUGGGCCCCUCGGGUGAUCUGACCUGGAUAAGCAUGGCCAUGCAAUGAGGAUUAUGAGAUAAUCCGAAUGUUGGUCAGAUUCACCGAAAUGACAAACAGGUCGAGCGACAACAAGGAUGACCAUGUCGCCUUCAGCACGACAAUGUAUAUCAUGUGGCAAAGGGAACAGAAGUAUGAAGUACAGGUUUGCCUAACCAGCUUCAUCAGACACUUGGAGUCGGCACACCUUGCUAGAGGCCACUACUGACUAGCUGAGUCAGACGUGGUCUGACUUGCGACCAAGUGAACGAGAACCUAAAGGGUCACACACUUAAGGGAAGGAACACGUGGGCUUUAGGGUCCAUGCGAGGCCCAAGAGUUGAUCCUGCGACGGACGCCUAUAUAUAGUGGAGGUGCGGCACACUUAUUGGAUUGAUCACUUCGGCGCCAUCAUUAGGGCUGUGUAUGUGUUGCACCUAGCCAGCUCCACUCACCGCCGCUAACUGUGUGAUCGAGACCUAGCAGUCCACCGCAUGGUGUUCCUCGUGCACGUGCAGAUAUCGUUAGAGGCGGUGCACCUGUGCCGCUCCAGAAAACCUGUAUGUGGGAUCCGACGAAUGGUUGUUCGAGGGAGACGAUCUGGCAACCGACCGUUCAAGGGAGAUUGGACGGGGAGGAGAAGGACCACGCGGACGUGCUGCGCCAACUCUACUUCUGCUGAACGAGACUGCGCAUCUAGUGGUAAUGCCUGUGAUCCAUCUCCAUAGAAUGUGCUUGGAUGUUCUGCGCGUAGGAAAAAUUUAAUUCGCAUGUGAUGCACCUACGGUAGAACCCAACAACCUUUCCCAUGACAAUACUAACAGAGUCCACUCAUUGGUGCCAUCCCUGGUGAUGUACAUCACCAGUAUCAUCCACGAGGGCAUGCAUCGGUGUGCUCGUUGUGUGUGAAAACAACCCAUGGUCGUCCUUUCCGGCACGACCCCGUCUCGAGAGCAGCCACAUCACUCCUGCCACUAGUAAUACGGGCUCUCUGGUAGUACCAACCAUAUUAAUCAACAAAAGCCCCUGGGUAUCAUGGUUGUACAUGUAAGGUUGGGACAGUCACGAAACCUUAAAUCUCUUUGUUUUUGAAAUCACACACGCAUCUUCCCUUGGUACACCACUUCUUUCUUAAGUGGUCACCUAAUCUCAACACCAUCUCCCUCGGGGAUUAGUGGCAUCCGACGGGUUUUUGGAAAAGUCUUUGAAAAUACAACUGUUUCCAUCACUAUGCAUAGUCCCAUCCUGUUUGCGUAGCAACUACAUAACAACCUAUCUACUUCCCGCCAACACAACUUUAAGCAUGAGUAGAGUCAUGUCAUGCAAGUAUCAACAAAGAAGUAAUGGAUGCAACCCAUAAGUUGGUCACCAUAGUCACCAUGAUUCAAUGCAACAAAUUAAGUGACAUAUGCCAUGCAAAAAGGGUUUCAAGUCAUCAUCAAGGGCAUGCUUGCAUGGCUCAAAAAAGUCUUUGCGUCUUUAAGUUUCCUCGCCCAACUCCUCCGUCAACAACGCAAACUAUCUAGGCAAUUAUAGCGGGAAUAAUUAGACCACGACAAAAAUAGAGAAAAUAAAGUCUUCCUAAAAAUGUCACACCAUUUUUGUAAAAUAGUUGGGUGAAUAUAAGCUUUGUAAAAAUUAUAAAAUUCUGAUUUUGAAGUGCAAAAAGUAACAUAGUGGGUUAAAAUAAUUCAAACAAGAUUUUAAGUAAAACAAUGUAUAAAACUUUUCGUAUAAAUUGCACAAGUGUCACCAUUAAAUACGUUUGGUUUCUAGAAAAAGAGGAGUUGGAAUCAUUGCAUCUGGAUCAAUAUUUAAUCUAGGGAAUUUUUGCAAGAUUAUAUGUAAAAGAAAAAGACAUGCAUCACAGUUUCCAGUUCGCCGCAGCAGAGGCGGACCCGAGCCGGCCCAGAAGAGUUGACCGAGGAGGCAAAGGGAUGUGCAUGCCGGCCGAGGUUUGAACCCGACCAAUGGGCCCAAUCUGCCAGAGAGAGAGAGAGAGAGNNNNNNNNNNNNNNNNNNNNNNNNNNNNNNNNNNNNNNNNNNNNNNNNNNNNNNNNNNNNNNNNNNNNNNNNNNNNNNNNNNNNNNNNNNNNNNNNNNNNNNNNNNNNNNNNNNNNNNNNNNNNNNNNNNNNNNNNNNNNNNNNNNNNNNNNNNNNNNNNNNNNNNNNNNNNNNNNNNNNNNNNNNNNNNNNNNNNNNNNNNNNNNNNNNNNNNNNNNNNNNNNNNNNNNNNNNNNNNNNNNNNNNNNNNNNNNNNNNNNNNNNNNNNNNNNNNNNNNNNNNNNNNNNNNNNNNNNNNNNNNNNNNNNNNNNNNNNNNNNNNNNNNNNNNNNNNNNNNNNNNNNNNNNNNNNNNNNNNNNNNNNNNNNNNNNNNNNNNNNNNNNNNNNNNNNNNNNNNNNNNNNGACUAGGAUCCGGAAGGUGUCAUAGGUCAAGCGAGGCUGGAGGGGAGUGCUGAAGGACCCUUGGCUGCGAAGAUCUCUAAAGAUUCAAACUCAGGGCUGCGCGAAGAUCUCUCACCGGCUCGCCUCACCUAGCUCUCUACUCACUGAGAAUGGCAAGGAACUCACUCGAUGCUGAAGAAGACAUAGAACACGACAGUUUACCCAGGUUCGGNNNNNNNNNNNNNNNNNNNNNNNNNNNNNNNNNNNNNNNNNNNNNNNNNNNNNNNNNNNNNNNNNNNNNNNNNNNNNNNNNNNNNNNNNNNNNNNNNNNNNNNNNNNNNNNNNNNNNNNNNNNNNNNNNNNNNNNNNNNNNNNNNNNNNNNNNNNNNNNNNNNNNNNNNNNNNNNNNNNNNNNNNNNNNNNNNNNNNNNNNNNNNNNNNNNNNNNNNNNNNNNNNNNNNNNNNNNNNNNNNNNNNNNNNNNNNNNNNNNNNNNNNNNNNNNNNNNNNNNNNNNNNNNNNNNNNNNNNAGUUUACCCAGGUUCGGGCCGGUGAGAAGCGUAAUACCCUACUCCUGCUUUGGUGGAUUGCCUCUCUCGGUGGUGGGCGGAUGAAUUAGUACAAUGCUCGGGAGCCUCCGGAGGCUGGGUGGCUUUGCGUGGUGCUAGUGGGUGAACGAAUGAAUCGGGGGCCUCUCUACGAAGCAACCUAUCCUCUAUAUAUAGUGGCGGCCAGGGUCCUCUUCCCUUAUCGUUUCGGCGGGAAGGGAUCCCACAAUGGCCAAUUUUGAAGGGGAACAGGGGAACAUGCCCCCCUGCCCAAAGGUGGUCUUCGCCUGCAAAGUCUGUCAGCGCAACACGGCCGGGUACAGGGAUGACGUUCGUCCUGCCGGCGGGCGGCCAUGGUCUUGUUGCACUAGAAAGGAAACCUUUUGGAGAUGCCUUCGGAGCCUCUGGUACGUCCUUGCCUCCUUUGCACUAAAGGGGAAACUGCACCGCCCCGUUGUGUGCUGCUCGCCUGUCCUUCCCUUGCGUCAUCCUUGACUCCCGAGGCCGGGCCUCGCCUCGGAAUAUCCGCCGUUCUGGAGGGGUCCUAAGGAGGCCCCCUGCGGGUCUUGAUGCCGUUCCUCCUCAUGAGGUUUGGACCUUCACGAGGGCCUUGCCUUGAGUGAUGUCGGGCCCGUUAGCGUGCUUGAUGAAGUGGGCCAGCCCUGGGCCGCAGGCAGGCAGGUCUGGGUACCCCCAUUCCCAGAACGCCGACAACUACCAUAGAUACAUGAAGGUUGAGUGCGACAAGGACAAGUGUGUCCUUCACAAGGCUUUGGUGAACGAACUGAAUGAAGAACACAUUGAGUAUGUGGUCAAGGACACAUACACAAGGCGAGAUGUAUAGGAGGAUUGUUCACACGAGGAAGUGCCUUCCUUCCUACGAACAAUGAGGGAUAGCCACAAGCAGAGAAGUGGCCGCAACCGUCUUCAAAAGCACAAUAUGAUUUGGUGAUCGUCUACUUCUUGUAAAUUUAUAUUAGGGAAUGUACAUGUGUUUUUUAGUCACAUAUAUAAUUGGAUGCUCAUGUUGGUCAUGCAACAAUGUUGGUUUUCUAUAGGCAGAGCAUAGAUGUUGGGAAAACAGAGCAAACGACAUCUCAUACAACUAUUUAGCAGCAACCAUUUGCCCACAACACAUACGGAUUGCCAGGACGACUCGUUUGAGUUAUUAUUUGUCUUCCCACACAAUUCUAAUGAAUGAAUAGUUUGCUGGGUAUCACACACACUUUCUUAUGCUAACUCAUUUGUGUUCUGCUCGAUCAGCAAAAACAGUUUAUCCGAGUGAACUAUAUGAUGUAAUUCCCAAACAAACGUAUUUUGUUAACCGUUUAUGUCAUCUUGGAUAAUGGCAAACAAUUGUUAAUAACCAACUGUAUGCCACAUAACACACACAUAUGUCUUUUCUAAAUCAUAUUUGGUGGAUCUGCCAUCGCACACAGUUCGUGUUAUUGGCGAUAGAGCUAGAACUAUAUCAUUUGUGAUUGAUGGAUUGCACACAGUUUGUUCAAAGGGGAUCUGAUUGAUGUAUCAUCUUACCAUCCUACAGUAGUGAGUAUCUACUUCUAUUGAGCAAAAUAAUGCUGAUAUUUAUGUGAACUUUGUCUCUUGAAAUAAUUUCAACAAUAAUGCUUAUAGUGGAAAUUUUAAUGCUAGACCGUUUCCCAAUAACUCUCCUAAUAAUUAUGGUAAUUCCUACGGAAAGUUUUCCAACAAUAAUAAUAGGCUACCUUAUGUAGUUUUUUAGAGUUUCCACAUCAUCUCCUAAAAGUAAAAACUUUCCGCCCAAGCAUGAUAUUAUUGAGUCCAUUAAAUCUAUCCAUGUCUCUAAUAACAAAGUAAGGAGAGAAUCGCUAGGUUGUGAGCUAAGCGAGAACUCCUAGAGAAAGUUCUUCCACCUGGUUUUUACCAUAAUCAUGAUGAAGAUCUUAAAAUGAUUGGUAUUUUUCCUAUUUAUACUUUAUUUACUAAGAUGAAAUUGAUUAUAAAGGGACUGGAGAUGAGUUAACUUCACCUAGAAGGCAUCCCAUUUGUUCGGACGGUGGUGAUCUUAAUGAUAAAAAUGAAAAAGUGAGUUUGGAGAGUCAAAACUUUAACUAGUUAUGUGCCUACUAUCAUGAAUUAGAAGGACCUUAAUUAUGUAAGUUGUUAUUUAGUAUAUUGUAUUUCCUUGUUCAAGACAUAAUUAGCUCACAAAAAGCUUAUGAACAAAUCAAAGAUUUUACUAACCUAUUGAGAAGGGAUGGUAAAAGCUCAUGAGGAGAAACUUGAAGUAGAAGUUCUAUACCUAGAAAAUUGCAUUAGGAAUGGGAAUCUACUAUUAAAAAUAAGAUUAAAGAAUAUGAAUGUAAUGAUUUGAGUUACCUUGGUGCUAGUGAUUAAACUAUACAUAAAUCUCUUUGUUUUGUGCUUGGUCUCACCGAUAUAUAUGAUUGUUCCCUUAAUUUGCAUCUUGCGGAUUCCAAUAUUAAGGAAUGUUUGGGUAGAAUGAAUGAUGUGCUUAUUUUUGCUAACAUAAACUAUGUUCCUAUAGAUUUCAUUAUGGUUGAUAUCGAAUGCAAUCCUCCUUGUCCAAUUAUACUUGGUAGACCUUUCUUACGGACUAUAGGUGCUAUUAUAGACAUGAAGGAGGGAAACAUAUGAUUCUAAUAACCAUUAGAGAAAGGGAUAGAACAAUUACCUAGGAAGAUAAUUAAACCACCUUAUGACUCUAUCACGAGGUCCGCUUAUGGAUUGAAUGUCAAGGAUGGCCACACAUGAUCCUAUGCAUUCUGGCUAGCUACGGGGUAAAACCAUAGCGUUUGUUGGGAGGCAACCCAAUAGUUAUCUUAAUUUUUGUGUUCUAAUUUCUGUUGUUUUGUGUUGACAUGAUUAUUUCUACUUUUAUAUUGUGGUAUUAUGUUUUAAUUAGUGUUUGUGCCAAGUAAAGCCUUUGGGAGGGAUUUGAAUGAUAUUAUAAUUGAUACGCUGCAAAAAUAGAGACUGUUCUGUUUUGGACGGAUUCUUUUUUUGUUGGGUAGUUUGUUUUGAUGAUGUUAUGGAUUAUAACGACGGGCAUACACCAUAGAGAAGUUAGAAUAUAGAAACUUAUGCAAUGAAUAAUAUUUAUUAAUUUAUAAUAGUACCUAAAUCUACGAUUUUCCUAUUGUACGAACGGAUCUCGCGAGGUUUCUGUUGAGUUUUGUGUUCUGAAAUUUGCAAGUUUUAUGUGCGAUCACAAUGGAUGAAGGAAUAAAGAGCGGCUAGACCCUAAGCUUGGGGGUAUACAAGACACCACACGGUAAUAUACUAGGAAGUCUCAUGAGUCUAAGCUGGGGAUGCCCCGGAAGGCAUGCCCUCUAUCGUCUCCAUUCCAUCGGUAUGUCACUUGGAGCUAUAUUUUUAUUCAUCACAUGAUAUGUGAUUUGCUUGGAGUGUCGUGUAUUAUAGUUUUAUUUUGUUUUAGUUUUUCCACAAUUAGUGUUUGCUGGACACAGUUAUUUGAGAGAUACAAAUGUUCAUCCUGAUUUGUUAGAAUAUUUUUUGUGCUUCUCUUAUAUCUUUUGAGCUAAGCAGUUUCUCUAGUGCCUCACUUUAUCUUUUAGAGCACGAUGGUGUGUAGAUUUUAGAGAAAUAAUUUCACUCUUGUUAUACACUUAUAUUUGUUUGAGAGUCUAAUAGAGAGUAAUGAUAAUUUUCAUGGGUUAUAAGACUAGUUCAAAAAUGAUAGGUAUUUAAGGAGGAUAUAAUAAAAACUUUCAUGUAACAUAUAAAAGGGAAAUUGUGGGUUAGUGAUAUUGAUGUGGUUAUAUGAAAGGGCAUGAGCGAAUGGUUGUUGGUUAGUUGAAAUAUCGAUAAUUAAUGGGUGUUAGUUGUUGUUCAUAUAAAUACUAUUUAUGGCAUGGUGAUGAUGUGUGACCAUUCUUAUGCAUCAUUGAAAUCCUAGUGCUUUUCAGGUUGGGGGCACACGAUGGUUAACCCCUAGGGACAUGUGGUACUACUUUGCUUGUAGAGAGGUAAUAAUGCUUUGCAAUAAGGAUAUGAGUUCUUCAUGGCUAAUGUGAAUGUAUGGAUAUACACACACACACACACUCAUGUUUCCAUAUUUGCUAGGUUCUUCGGUACUGUGCAUUGCCCAUCCUCACUUCAAGGAUCAGUGCAACCUUCACCGGUGCAUCCAAACCCCGUGAUAUGAUACACUCUGUCACACAUAAAGCUACCUUAUAUCUUCCUAAAAAUAGUGCCAUACCUAACUAUCAUGGCAUUUCCAUAGCCAUUCGAAGAUAUAUUUACGUGAACUUCUAGCGUUACAUCACAUGACUUGUGUGCUCAACAUUAUACUGCUUUGCAUGACGAUAAGAUAGCUCACAUGAUAUUUUCAUGGCAUGUCCGUUUUUUGAUAUCUUUGCUAUUCUAGAUCAUUGCACAUCCUGGUACACUCACAGAGGCAUUCGUAUAGAGUCAUUUCUUUCAUCAUCACUGAAUUUUAAUAUGGAGUUGUAAGGUAGAUAGAAGUGUGAUGUUCAACAUUAUCAAAGCACUGUCUUAGUGAGGAAAGGAUUAUGGGGACUAUGAUCUCCCACAAGUCUGGAUGAGACUAUAGAUAAAAAAUAAAAUAAAAAGGGGAAAAGAGAAAAAGGAAAAGAACAAAAUAAAGAAAAUAAAAAGAGUAAAAAGGAAAUAAAUGAGGGAGAAGAGAGAAGGGACAGUGCUACUACUUCUUUUUCCACCCUUGUGCUUAGAGAAAGCACCAUGCUUUUCAUCUAGAGAGUCUCAUCAAUUGUCAUUUUCAUAUGCUAGUGGGAAUUUUUCAUUAUAGAACUUGGCUUGCUUAUUACGAUGACGGGCUUACUUAAAUGCCCAAGGUCUUAAUGAGAAAGCAAGUUGGAUGCACACCCACUUAUUUUCCUUUGAUCUUUCAUAAACUUAUAGCUCCAGUGCAUCCAUUGCAUGGCCAUCCCAACUCCCCACAUUGAUACAGAUUGAUGGGCAUCUCCAUAUCCCGUUGGUCCGCCAAGUUGAUGUGAGACUUUCUUUUCCAGUUUUACUCCUUUUGAUCUCUACCACCAUACUCUAUUUGACCCAUAUGCUAUAUCCUUGGUUCACACUCAUGUAUUUAUUGAGGUUGAAAAUGCUAAAGCACGUUAGAAGUAUGAUCCAGUUUCCUUCCUUAACAUCAUGGUGCUCAUCAUUUGCAAUUAUGUGGUGAAGACGGAGCCAUGCCAUGCUAAUAUGAUAAAAUGAGUGGGGAGUAACAUUCUUUACGGAUCAUAUAUUUUGGAAUUUAAUGUUUGUGUUGUUUAUGUUUAUUGAUAUUACUAUGUUGAUGUUUAUUAAUUCAUUGUUUCUCAAUGAUCAUUCCUGAAAAAGAUUACAUAUUAGGUAGCAUGUCACAUCAAAAAUUCUGUUUUUCAUAAUUUACCUACUCAAGGAUGAGAAGGAAUUAAGCUUGGGAAUGGUGAUACGUCUCCAACAUAUCUAUAAUUUUUGAUUGUUCCAUGCUAUUAUAUUACAAUUCUUGGAUACUUUAUAUGCAUUUACAUGUUGUUUUAUAUCAUUUUUGGGAAGUGACCUAUUCACCCAGUGCCUAGUGCUAGUUCAUGUUUUGUUCCGUGUUUUUGGAUUUUUAGGAAAUCCGUACCAAACGCAGUCCAAAUGCGAUGAAACAUUUUGAAGAUUUUUUUCUAGACAGAAAUAAGACCGGGAAGCUUCAGAGGGAGGCGGGACACCACAUGAGAUGGUGCCAAGCCAAGAGGGCGCCCCUAGGAGGUGGUCGCGUCCUGAUGGCUUGGGAGCACCUCCUGGCAUUUCGUGACCUAACUCCGCCUUUAUAAAUUUUAUAAAAUCGGGAAAACACUAGAGAGCCACCCGAAACACUUUUUCAGUCGCCGUAUGUCUCUUCUCCACCAUGAUCUAAUUUGGAGCCUUGUUCCGAUGCCCUACCGUAGGAGGGUCUAUCACAGAAGGCCUCCACAUCAACCUUGCUACACCCAGGGUGAGGUGUGAGUAGUUUAACAUAGACUACGGUUCCAUAGCUAAUACCUAGAUGGCUAUCUCUCUCUCUAGAUGAUCUUCAAAAAAAGUUCAUCAUGAUUCUUGCGAUGAUCUAUUCGAUGUGAUCUGUUUUGCGGUGUGUUUGCCGGGAUCCGAUGAAUUGUGGGUUUUUGAUCAGAUUAUUCUUGCAAAUAUAUUGAGUCUUUUCAGGUUUCAUAUAUGCAUGAUUAUGAUAGCUUCGUAUUUCUCUCCUAUCUAUCGGUUUGGUUUGGCCAACUACAAUGAUUUAUCUUCGAAGGGAGGAUGCAUUGUGAUGGGUUCAAUCUUGCGGUGCUCAAUCCCAGUGACAGAAGGGGGCAUGACACAUAUUUGUAUUACUGUCAUUAAGGAUAAAAAGAUUGCAUUCAUAUUAGUUGAGUUUAAUUUGUCUAUAUCACGACAUCUUGCUUCAAGCAUUACUCUAUUUUUUUAAUACUCUAGAUGCGUGUUGGAUAAUGGUCGAUGAGUCGAGUAAUAGUAGUAGAUCUAGGCAUGAGUUGGUCUACUUGCUUAUGGACGUGAUGCCUAUAUAUAUGAUCAUUGCCGUGAAUAAGUACUUCAUAUAUAUGUGCUAUUCUAUGAAUUUCCGAACAUUAAUUUGUUUACCCACCAUAUGCCUUCUUCGAGAGAGAAGCCUCUAGCGAAAACUAUGGCCCCCUGGUCUUCCCAAAAUAUAUUACUAAAACCCUAAAAAUAUUGUUGCCAGUUAUCUUCUCUUACUUUAUUUUAUUUAUACAUUACAUAUCUAUGAAUAGUUAAUAUUUGCAAGUAACGUGUUCAACGGGCUUAUCAACCCUCUUGCCCGUGUUAGGUGCAAGUGUUUGCUGUUUUGUGUGUAGAUGCUGAUGACGAGAAUUUGUGUGGUUCUUCUAUUGGUAUGAUAACCUUGGUUCUCGUUGAGGGAAAUACUUAUCUCUACUGUUUGCAUCUCCUCUCCUCUCAUGGGGAAACCACACACAGUUUACAAGUAGCAGUGCGCCUCGUUCCGCAUCGUUGAUGGGAUGGCGUCCCAUAUCAUCCCAAUGAAGAUCUCGAAGAAGGUGGAGGGAUUCAGGGCACAUUGGGUAUUCAUGGAUGUGGGCAAGUUCAUAUCCAUCCGCCUGACCCCAAUUGCCCCUGCCGAAUAGAGCUCAGGAUGGGAGCACGCCCAGCUCACGGACACCGGACUGAAGCCACUCAUGAAGAGGAUGAAGGACGUGAAGAACGCAUGCCUCACGAGGGCUAUGGUCGCCAAGGAAUUCAUGCACCGACACAUCACCCCUCUCCAUAAGCACUCGCUCUUGGUGUGGACCUAUAUCAGCGUCAGGGACAUGAUGAGGCUGAGCGUCAAUAGCCUGUUGGGGUCGGUGGCGUAGUAGGUCAUGAAGAUCUUGUUCGUUGACGACAUGGCAAACCUACCCGAUGGCACAUACCUAGUGUACCGCUAUGUCGUGACGGUUGCGACAAUGUCGCGAUUCAAUCAGUGGGGACGGUCCCUGUGGGCCACGAGGGGCACCACGAGUACCCCCUCUUUGUGGUGCCCAACUCAGACGGUCAUGAGGACGCCGUGACCUUGGCAGGCGCUGACGAGGAGGUCUGCUGAGGGGCUUCCCUGUUGGCUUUUUGCCCUCAGGAUCGAACACACGAUCACCCUGCAGCUCGACUAGUCGUGUACGUACAACUCGGCUCAACGUAUACGAACUAGGUGUAGCACUCGAUAUCUCACCGGCGCUCACACAAACACCGGGACCAGAACACACGCACGCAAACGCAGCAACACGAAGAUAGACAGAGGCACGUGUCGUGCCUCGUAAUAAUCUCUUUAUUGCUUUUCUCGUUUUUCUGGUGUACAAAACUCACGCAACGCUGCAUAUAUAUAUAUAUGCAUCAACCUGGCUAGCAAGCCGACUGCAAACACCAAUCCCAAUCCUACUCGUACUCAAACUUACCUAAACUAAGCUCACGGCAACGCUGAUCACGAACACUAACCAAACUAACACAUACCUGUUUGGGUUACUCUAACAUUCACCCCCUAAUCCAAACACUCGACUCAUCAACUUGGAAGCAACACAUCGUUUGGAUUACCAGUCCACGCCGUCACAUCUUAGCGUGCUACAUGUAGACUAAACGCAUAGCCUCUCAUGUAGGAACUCAACUUAACUGGUGCACAUCCAUCUUCAUGCUGGCCUUCGUCUUCUCGCCGAGACACACUAACGACUCAGACAUAAGAAAAAACUAAAGACACGACUCUUUUUUUGUUGCUUUCUGCCACAACUUCUUCAUCAAAGCAACCCUGGGCCGUCAUCCACUCCCACUUUAGCUAGUUGCAGAAUCUCGUGCUCCUUCUUUGCCCCAUUUCGCGGAUUAGGACACUCUCGAGAAUAGUGUCCAUAGUCCUGACAACUGUAGCAACGAACUUUAGAUUUGUCGAACUUCUGGUACUUCUGAUUAUCUUUCUCCUUAUUGCGCGAGAACAUCAACUGCUCCUCUUCUUGGUCGCGUUCCCGUCCUUUCAAUGUCAACUCAUAGGUCUUUAGCCACCCGAUCACCUCCAUCACCGACAUCUUCGUCACAUCGCCCCACUGCUCGAUGGUGCCAAUGAUCGGUAAAAACUUGUCGGGAACAACUCGUAGUAAUUUCUCCACAACCAUAAUGUCACCAUCAAGCAUGGGGCACUGGAUGGUCACACCACCACCACUCGCCUUCGAAGUUGACAUGAUUCUCUUCUACGAUUUUUCGUCGUCCGUGACACAACUUGACGGCGACGACAACUCCACCGUGACACAACUUGACGGCGAAGCUUCCACACCUUACUCUAGAUACCAAUUGUCGGCUUUUUGCCCUCAGGAUCGAACACACGAUCACCCUGCAGCCCGACUAGUCGUGUACGUACAACUCGGCUCAACGUAUACGAACUAGGUGUAGAACUCGAUAUCUCACCGGCGCUCAUGCAAACACCGGGACCAGAACACACGCACGCGAACGCAGCAACACGAAGAUAGCCAGAGGCACGUGUCGUGCAUCGUAAUAAUCUCUUUAUUGCUUUUCUCGUUUUUCUCGUGUACAAAACUCACGCAGCACUGCAUAUAUAUGCAUCAACCUCGCUAGCAAGCCGACUCCAAACACCAAUCCCAAUCCUACUCGUACUCAAACUUACCUAAACUAAGCUCACGGUAACGCUGAUCAUGAACACUAACCAAACUAACACAUACCUAUUUGGAUUACUCUAACAUUCCCUGCCAAGCCACCACCAGCUAUUGAUCAAUGCCAACAAGGACAACGAUGACACUAGGAAGUUCGUGGUCACACGCUCCCAACCCACAAGUACAGGGGUGGUGGAGCCACUCGCAAAGAGGCCGACGAGCUUCGCAAGGAGGAGGCCCGCAAUGGCCCAACAGAGGAACACUCUGGUAGGCCUCGCGGCGAGCCCACCGGAGGGAGCUCGGGCGAACCUCGCGGGAGGAACGGCCGUAGCUGCCCCACGGAAUAUGAGGAAGAGGCGUUGGCCCCAAACUGACGGGAAGUCCUUGUGCCAUAAUUCCUCCUUUGGUUUUUUUGCCUUCUGCCUCUUGGGAUCCGGGGCUGAGUCCUUGUGCUUUGCAGCGAGUCCACACGGAAGAAGAGAGCGGCCCCUGCUCCGAAGGAGGCCACAACACCCACUGCAUGCUCACAAGCGACAAAGACCUAAGAGGCCCAUGCUCGCCCUGAAGGCUGUGAGAGGUGACGGCAGGGAACACGGUGGCAAAUGAGGGAAGCAUGCCUACUCCUGAGACACGGGUGGUACCGCCUCUCUCAUAUGGAGGGAAUGAUCCUUGGGAGGUGACCUCCGAAGGAGAUGACCUCCCGUCGGAUGCACCGGACGCUGGAAUCGAGGCCGGAAUGGACAAGGUUGAAGAGCCCAACCCUCUGGAGCGCUCCACACCCGCCAUGGAGGCUAAUGCCAAAGCGGAGGCUAUGGUGAGCCCCCGGUGCUUGCCUAUGUGCCAGGCCAUUGAUGCCGCCGCGAUGAGCCCGCAACCCGCACCUGCGCGAUAAAUUGAAGAUGAGGCCGCGAGAAGCCCCCAACGCUGGAUGGAGGAUCGGACCCUUGCAGGGAGGAAGGGCAAGGUGACUGUGAAGGGGGAUGGUCUUGGUCCCUUGGAAGCCAUGAUGGUGGACGGCGGUGCGGACCCGCACUCCAACAGGGCACCGCAGGUGUUGAGCUACAACGCCAUGCUCCAAUGUGGAGCUUUGUGGGGGUGCCAGGGCGGCCCACGAGGCGCUUGAGGUAGACAUCUAGGUGAAGGAGACAUGUGUCGCCGACGAGUGUCUGUGCCUUGCGGAAGGGUGGAGACAACUUGACGUGGCCAUCAAGCUGGGCUACCGGCAGGAGGACACCGCACGGGAGCGACAUGAAAAUUGAACCCGCGAUGAAAAAGAGAUCUUCAAGAGCGUUGUGAGAGAUGCCGACGAAGCCGACAAGUGUCGCGAUGAGGUGGAGUAUGUUGGAAAUAUGAGCAAUUUAUCAAAGGAUUUUAUUAGAAGAAAAGCUAGGAUAAACAUAACCAUCAUAAUAAAGACGGAAGAAGGGAAGCGAUAUAGAGAUGAAAUGACAAAAAACAUGUGCACAUAUGAUCUAGAAAAGAACAUAUGUGUGACCGUUCUAUAUAGACAAGGUAUCAUAUGAAGUGAUGAACAGAAAUAGAACAUAUCUAGAAGAGAUACUAUAGCAAAAAGUUACCCUAGAAACUAAAAUAAGAAGAACAUGAGUACGUACUGAGUUGUAGCAGCAGUAGGAUUGGUGUUGUGUUGUCAUUGGCCAUGUUACCACGGAGGUGGUUGACGUCGGCGCAGUAGUCGUCGUCCGGGAAGAAAUCGUCGGUGUUCGUGAUGGAAGCUAGUAGUCGCGCUGAGCGCUCCCCAAAAACCUUAUCGCCCUUCUCCCGUACAGGACUCGAAGAGACGGAGUUUCGGAGGCCUACUGUCCCGACGAACGGUGCACGCCGCAAGACGGGAUGGGGAAGAACGCAGCAGCAGCACAGAGAAAGGAACCGGUGGUGGCGAGUGGGAACUUAUGAUGCGUCAUCUCUAGAGAGGAGCGACCUCUCUUUUAUAGGCGCAGGAGAAGGAGGCGAGAGGCCAACGAUUCGCUUUCAAUAUCCACUAGCAAAAACGUUCAGCUUCUUCGAGUGGACUUUCGUAUACCAGUCGUGCGUGGCAAAAAUUUAGUUCGGCUCGGCUCAUUCCCGCAACCCGCGGCGAGGCGAGGCGGGCGGCGGAGGAGGAGGAGCGCGCGUGUAUGUCUCUCUUAUUCUCAAGCUCAUACAUGUGUGGAAACAUCCUCCCUUAUAAGGAGGUCCAACUCCCACUAAACUAGCAAUGUGGGACUAAACAUUUUCACCUCUUGCCUUGCACAAAUGGGUUGCGUGGGCCUCUAGAAUUUAUUAGGAAUUUUCUUAAAUCAUAUAUAUUGGGCUGGCCCAUAUUUGGACAAAAUUACAGCAAUCCCCUACCAGAUCCCAGAGGCACAGAAAAUUUGCCUUUGGUUCCAAGACACUGUUUUAUAUACCGAUACUGCAGUGGAGACUGUUAAGUUGAACUUCCACCUAGAACUCUAUGCUACACUAGUAAGCAACUUGAACAGUUGACUAGGCCUUGAACUGCAAGUUUUCUGCGAAACUGGCUUCACACAAAGGUUUGAUCGAUACUAGGAUACUGUGGGACUUCCCCGCGGAUGGAGCUUAUGCGUCAUACUCCGAGACCUUUCCUGAGUUUACUAAAGAGCACCUGUAGUGCCCCAAGUGUAAAGCUUUCCCUUUUUGUAACCUUCCAUGUGGGACCACCUUGACAUUGUCAUGAGAGCUAUCUAUGCAUGUAUGAUUUCAUGUGUCACCUUGUAUUUCUUCUUUUGCAUGCAUGCAUCCAUGCCAUACCAUUCUUACCAUGCCUUGUUGUGCUUGAAUAUAUACCUUGCCAUGUCAUGUUGUGAUCUUGUGAAUUCAUCUGUGAUGCUCAUGAGAUGUGGGGGUGAGUAGAAGUGAUCUGGUGGUUGUUUACUUCAAAACCCUUUUCUAAUUCAAAAACCCCUUUUCUCUCUUUUAAUCUCAAGUUCAAAUUCCACUUGCUCCUAAGCUGAUUUAAAAACGUCUUUUGUUUAGGAAAUAAUGUGGGUAUAUUGGGGUGCUAAAUUUGUUGUUUUGAAAAGUGUUCUAAAGGUGCAAAAUAAACACAAAACAUAAACUAUAAUGCUGUUUUGUAUUUAUUAGUUUGCCCCAAAAAUUCCUUUAGUAUUUUAUUUAAAUGGGGUAUUUAUUUUCAGGUCCAGGGGCAUUUUUGUUUUGUUUUUAUCUUCAAUGGUUUGCCCUGUGGGCCUUUUCUUUUCUUUGUGCUUUAGUUAAAUAGGAAAUAGCCAGAGUUUGCUUUUUCUCUUAUGUGUCGCUCUGGUGGGCUUCCUCCCAGCCAGAGAGGCCCAUCUCCCCACCUGUCCUGUGCGCUAGCCCAAUCCCGCGUCCCUCUCUUCCUCCUCUCGACGUCAUCUCUGUACGACUGCAUUUCCUCCUCCCGUUCCUCCAUAGGGCGAUCCCGUGGUCAAGCGCCCUCCCCGAGGUAAUAUAAGACGCAGGGAACCCACCUCGUUCCCUAGGUUUCCCUCUCCUUCCUCCAGUGCGCCGCCACCUUCUCUCUUCUUCUUCCCCCUCUGGUAAGCCUCUGUACGAGUAGUAGAGAGAGAGAUCAGCCCCGCCGCGUCUACCCCGCCGUCUCCGUCGAGCAGCGCCGGCGGCCAUGUCCAGGAGCACGGGGUAGGAGCCCGCGCUCUAUUCCCGUCCUCUGUGAGGCCGGGCAGCGACCUCAUCCACGGGCAGCUCCACGUCAACGUCGCGCUCUCGGUGGACUCCCUCCCUAUUCCUCUGCUUCGGUUCAACGACAGGGGCUUCUUCAUCGGCAAUCUUCUUCCCCUCCAGCGACUUCUCCAUCGAUCGACGCCCUUCCUCCUUCCCCUAGGUGAGCAGGAGCUCCUCCCUCCUUCCUCCCUCCUUCUCGCCGCUUAGACCGAGCAGGGGCUCGCCGGAGUAGUUUCUGCCAGGAAGAGAUUCGGCGCGCUAGAUGUAUGUUGGGUGUAUUGUUGGCCUGUGUGCGUUAGGGUUGUGGCCUAGAAGGGGCUUCUCCCCCCUUGUAGCGAUCUGUGGUAGGGCCCUCCUCUGGGCGCAGCAGCAACAGUACCGAGGCAUGCCCGGCAACCUCCCUGUCGCGGGCAGCCUCUGUAGGCAGAGCAAGAACUCCUGCUAGCAUUCCUUGCACGCGUGCCCUUCUAUGUCAGUAUCCUUCCCCGUAGCAUAGUGGUACCGCUCGUCGUGUGCCUGUUGGAAGGCGUGGGUUCGAAUCCCCCUUGGCACCCCUUUUUAUUUUGCAUUUCUUCGGCACAGUAAGCCACUAGGGACAAGUUUCCUUGCUUGUGCAUCUCUCUCUGUCGAGCAAAGGCUGGUAGCAGAGUGGUGUUGGUCUGAUGUGGUGACCCAGGGGAUGUGGGAUCGAAUCCCUCCCCUGCCGUUUUAUUUUUGUUGUUGUUGCAAUGUAAAUCUGUUUUGCUAUGCGUUGUUUGUUUAGUUGCUGCAGAGGCAUGGCCUCAUGUGGGUGUUUUAUCCACUCACUUCAGUAUGUAGUUCCUAGUGUUUGAUGCUAGCAAGAGUAUGGUGCAUGGUAGAUAUAAGUUGUGAAGGCAAGCAUGCAUAUAUCUGAGAGCAUAUAUAUGUGUGUGUGUGUGUAAGUAGGUGUGUGUGUGCACCUUGUGAGUGUUUGUCACCAAGUGGUGAUGUAUAUGUAGGGGGUGAGCCUUGUGAAUGAAAGUGGAUCUUAAUCACUAGCUUGUGCAAGUGAUGUGUUGUAUGUCUCUGGAGAAAACAGCCGCACUUGCAACUUGCGCACCUCGUCAUGUUAAUAUGAGAGAGGGCAUGAUGUGUGUGUGUGGGUGAUCUUGUGGUAGUAGUGUUUGUGAUGUUGUUGUGCAUAACACAAACAUGGGGUCCAAACCCUCAUGUCCAUAUUGUCUUUGUGCACAUGAACAUAGCUAUGUGGUAGUUGAUCUAGUGUGUGCACAUGAAAUGUUGCACUAUUCCAUUUGUAGGAAUAUAUGUAGUUUUUCCCUCCUAGUUUGUGGCCACUUGCUCCAAACAAGUGCAUGCAUAUUUUAUAUGAGUUUGGGGUAGAAAGAUACCAAGAAUCCAUUGGAGCAAUCAUUUAUGCCAUUGGAACAUUUUCUGGAGAUGACAUAUUUUCAUUUUCUUCUAUGUUUAGAGCUUGGUUCCAUGAGUUGUGAUGUGCUCUUGUAUUUGUUUCUUGGUUGUGGUAGUAGAGGGUGACCCCCUCUACCACAUGUUGGUUUCAAUCCAUGAUUUGGAAUUCAUGUGUGCAAGUUGUGCUCAUCCAAAGUAGGCAUGCGCUGAAAUUCCAGAUUAGUGAAAAUCUGAGAUUUUCACUAAGUCUGAGAAUCUGUUUAUAUUUUGUUCUCCUGUUGAUGAGGUUGUGCAGAUCAAUGUAUUGUGAUCUAGCCUUAGCUUUCAACUAGAAAGUUGGACCUGAUAUGUUUUUCUAGCUCCCUGUAAAAGUUCAAGUCAUUUUGAGUCCUGUAGAUAUUGUAUUGGAUGCUGUCAAAAUGCUUCAGAGCAUAGACAGAAAGUGAGAAUCUGGAAUUUUCACUAAGUCCCUGAAAACUGAUGUUUUUGGGCAAGUUUGCAGCCUUAUAACUUUCUGUGUUUAAUUACUUUUUGUGUGAUCAUUGCUUGUGCUUUUAGUAUUCUUGGAUAGCUACAGCCACAUAUAUUAUUUGUCAUAGUUGGGUGGCUGUAGAUGCUUUGCAUGUAGCUCACAAAGUGCUAUGAUGCAGUUUAUGGCAGAUUGAGUAGUUUUGUCAUUUUGAUGUUUGUGAGUGCUUAGUUGAUGUUGUGGUGUUAUUAUUUGCUCCACCCCAUCCAUGAUGGUUUGUUUUAUGUCUUGGCAACCUGGGAAUACCAGAUUUGUGCCAAUUGAGUGUGUGGUGAUGAUUUUGCUACGUAGGGCUUCAUAUCUUGUUUCGUUGAAUCCCGUUGAUGCGUAGCUCCGAUUGUAAUGUUCUUUAUAUGGUUUUGCAUCGUUUUCAUGAGAUGCAUCUGAUCAUGUCAUUCUCAUGCAUGUCAAAAUAGGUUAGCAUGCAGUUCUGUCCAGGAACAUGUAUUUACUCCUUACGCUUGUGCUAGUGAUAGAAAUAGUGACGCAUGCUCAUAUUCAUCUCUUGCAUCAUGUGCUUGUUGCAUCUUGAGGUGCUGUUGUUCAUUGGAUGUUAUUGUUAUGUUGGGUAGCACUAGGAUCGGAGAACGAAUACGUGGAGUCAGGAGAGUACGUGCAGGACGAUCAAGAACCAUUCCAAACUGAGGAUAUCACAGGCAAGAUGAUAUGACCUUGAUUCCAUCUCUAGACUUGUUAUGCUAGAUUACAUUUCCUUGUCAUAUGCUCGCUGCCUACCACUGAAAUAUUUGCCCCUUGAUAUGCCAUGAACCCAAACACCGAUCCCUUCCUAGCAAACUUGAAUGGCUAAGUAGGCUUUGCUCAGCUACUAAUGUUAGCGUUGUUAGAUGCAGGUGCUUUGACUCAUGUGAUAACAUGAGCUUGAUAUCAUUAUCUUAAAUUCUGUUAUUUAAUUAAUGCACAUAUAUACUUGGUAAAUAACGGAAGGCCUGGCCUUUUGCCGGGUGCUUUGUUCCGUUAUUGCCGCCAUAGUUACCGGCUACCGGUGUUUGAUUCCAUAUUGAUCGCUCCUAACACGUUCCGGGUUGUUAUGGGGACCCCCUUGAUAAAUCGCGUAGUGUUAAGACUUGUCCGGCAGGACCCACCAUUGGUGUUAAUUUGCUAAUCACUUAAUAAUAAUCUGCAUAGGGAAUAACUACCCCGAGGAAUUUAAUCAACAACCCGGGCCAGUGCUCCUCAUGAGUGUUGGUCCAAACUGGGAAGACUAUGGGGCCACCACAGGGCAACCUAAGGUUUGGUAUACCUAUAGUGUGACUCAUCCGGCGUGUCCUGAGACUGAGAUACGCGACUCUUAUCAGUGUCGUCGACACGUCGGGAGGUCCUGCUAGUCUUGUCUUACCUUAGCGAUAUAUCUUGCGUAUAGAAAUCCCGGUGAAGCUUUGGUUCUCCCCAGAGUUGAGGUUUUCCUCUAAGGAAUCUGACGAGAUCAUGAGAUUCGUGAUAGAGGAUUACUUUGCGGCCUAUGUACGUUUGUGAUGGACUAGUUGGAGCACCCCUGUAGGGUUUAAUCUUUCGAAAAGCCGUGCCCGCGGUUAUGUGGCAACUUGGAAUAUUUUGUUAACAUCCGGUAUUAGAUAACUUAAACACAAGCUAAUAAAAUUGCCAACUGUGUGCGUAACCGUGAGUGUCCCCUCGAAGAUCUCUCUUCGAUCGGGAACAAGGUGGGGUUAUGAAUGACGUAGGUAGGUGUUCAGGAUCACUUAGUGAUCAAGUAUUCUCGACCGCUAGUAUAGACCACCUUCAAAAAUGUGCUAUGUAAGUUAGCCACCAUAUCAAGCUUAGGAUGCUGCAACCUUAAACACUCUACCCUAUCCAACCUAGUAACUUGACUAGUUCUGGUACCAAGGUCUUACAUUGUUGAGUCCCAGUGGCUCACGGAUUCCUACACAAUACCAACAGGUUCAAGUACCCAGAGACAGAUGAUCCUGACGGCACGCAGCUGGCGUGGCAGUACGAUGAGGAGACAGACCGCCUGUACGUGAACUAUCUAGAAGAUUGAGGCGUGGUCGUGAUCGUGGGCCAGCAGGCAGGGUAACAUAGCCUUUUCUCCUGUUUUGUAGUCCGUAGCAGAACUACUUUGGUUGUAUGCGUGAUGUACUCUUAUAUAUUUAUGAGAAGGCAAUUGAACCCCUGAUUGUCUAUGUUUUAUUAUUAUGUAUGUGAUGUGUUACCUGUUUGCGAGACGCUUAGAUGCGCUCCUUUCCAAUUCAGGGCCUCGAUCCCCAGAUCGGAAAUGACCGCAUCUUGGUCGGUACAAGUUGGUAAUCAGAGCCUUACGACCAUAGGAUCCUUUGUGUGAUCGUACUUGGCCGAGUCGAGUCUAGAAAUGUUUUGAGUCUUAGUUAUAUCGGAGAGUAAGAUUCUUUUUUCUCCUCUUCCAUGCUCUGGUGAGGUUCCCGACUUAGGAAAUCUUGAAUUCUACUCCUCUUGCCGCUCAAAUUAUUUUUAGGAUCAUGCGGGUAUUUGUGAAAUCUAUAUGAUUUCGAUGUGACGGAGUCCUGUCUUGGUGCCUCCUCUCUGCUUUGAGUUUCUUCCGGGGAGUUGAGCUCCAAGGGAUUCUUGCGCACAUCACCAUCAUUCAGAUUUCUGAGUAUCUAAGAACGAAGGAUGUUCGUAAUUGCUUCAAUACUGGUAGUGGCGAGAUAACCCCGAUGUCCCUAGUACUGGUGCAGAUUGUUCGGGAGUACUGCCAUACUUAGUAUCGUUGUGAUCAUGAGGGUCUGUUGUAGAUGAAGGUCCGAGAUGCUGGUUGUGUGUUGACGGAUGUGAUACAGGUGACGGGUUAGUAUAGGAGUUGUGUGAUAUUACUCCUUGUAUCCGUGUACCAGAUUGCAUGACCAGUUAUUUUGGGAAUUCAUAGGUGGAAUAUCACGUAGUAUCUUAUAGGACUAUCUUCCUACACAUGCAUGAUUGAGGUUGGGAUUCGAUGUUCAGUGGGUACGUUUGUUGACGGUCGUCUUACAACGGUUCUUGUUGUGUCUUAAAGAGUCCUUGUAGCUCACUACGACUCGGGGAUACUUCGUAUGUCGUGUGCACUGCCUUGCACAUGAUGGCUAUUGUAAAUGCGAGCCCGUGCGGUCUUAUCCACGAAGAUAUCGGGUGAAAUCUCGAUCAUAUGUUUGUUCCGAGCAGUUCUAGCUCAUACUUGUUUGCAGUGGUGUUAAUCGAAAUUUUGUCGUCUGUCACUUUGAGGAAGCAUUCUUACUAUUUGGUUCGAGUGCAAUUGCUUAUUCCUGUUCAGAUAUUCCUGUCUUUUGAUUCAGCAAUAUCUUCAAGUUAUUCUGUGGCUAAUAUGCUGUCCGUCUUCAGGAUGGCUCCACCUACUCGUCAGAACCCAGGGCGUGAGGAUAUGCCGCCUCCACCUCCUCCUCCGGAGAACCCUCCGCCGCCGCCGCCUCCUCCUGCAGAGGCCUGGCAAGCAGUGAUGGCUGCUACUAAUGCAAACACCCAGAUGCUGCUACAGUUGCUGCAAGAGAGAGCCAAUCAACAGCAAGGCAAUUUUCAGCAUGGUGGAAAUCAGUUUGCGAGUCUGAGUCAGUUCCUGUCAAACCAGCCAAAGACGUUCACUUCAUGCGACCAGCCAUUUGAUGCAGAAGAUUGGAUCCGUGAUAUGAACAAACAUUUCGAGUGUAGCAAUGUGCGUCCGGAGGAUUAUGUCAAGUUUGCAACGUUCUAGUUGAAGGGGCAGGCUUCUAUAUGGUGGCAGCAGCUGAAGGACUCCAGAGGCGCCAGGGUGAUGUCUUGGGAUGAGUUCUGUCGUGACUUCAGGUCCCACUACAUCCCUUCAAGUUUUGUGGAGGAGAUGCGUGAGAAGUUCAGGCGUUUGAAGCAGGGUGGCAAUUCUGUGUACAAGUACAACGUUGAGUUCCACGAGUUGGCCCGUUACGCGCUGCAGGAUAUCCCGGAUCAGAAGAGCAAGAUUUAUCAGUUCAGGGGUGGCUUGAAAGAAGAUUUGCAGUUAGCUCUUGCCUUGCACGAUCUCGAGGAGUUCGACAAGUUCUACAACCUAGCUCUCAGAGCAGAGGCAGCCUUGCUGAGGGUGGCGAAUUCUAAGAAGCGCUUCAGAGAUUCCAGCUCUUCCUCGACUCAGGUGGUUCAGAAGCAACAUAAGUUGUGGGUGUCUCCUCCUCCUCCUCGGCACUCGCAGCAGCUCAAGCACUCAGGUGGUCGUGGUUCUUCCCACCCACCCAACCCUGUCUUCCAGCAGAGAUUCCAGCACCAGAAGCAAGGGCCUCCUUAGACUCAGUACUGACAGCCAGUAGAUUUCACUUGUCACAAGUGUGGGCAGAAGGGUGACUAUGCCAACAAGUGUACUUCUCAGCUCCGUCUGCCGCCUCCUCCUCUAGGCAAACCUCCAUGCAACGCUCUUGUCAAGUUCAACCCCAGAUCAGCUCGAGUCAACAUGGUGAAUGCAACUGAAGUAGAAAACUCGUCAGAUGUGAUUAUGGGUAACCUCCUCGUCAAUGAUAUUCCUGCUAAAGUGCUAUUCAAUUCUGGUGCAUCGCAUUCUUUCUUGUCAUACCCUUUUGCGGCAAAGCAUGAUUUCCAUCUUCAAGAGUUGGCUAAGUCUUUGGACAUUGUUUCUCCGGGCAUGCUUAUGAGUUCUUGUUGGGUUGUUCCGGAUGCUUCUGUCAAGAUAGGAAGUUAUUAUUUUCUGGCCUCACCGUAUGUCUUGGACAAUUCCGACAUCGACUUGAUUCUUGGUAUGGACUGGCUGGCCAUGAACAAGGCAUCAAUUGAUUGUGAAGCCAAAGAAGUGAAGCUUACCCACUCUUCGGAAGACGUGAUUAUAUUCACGGCGCGCGAUGAUACAAUCCGUCUGUUCUCCUUGAAUGAAAAGGGUGAGAUCAAUCCUAUUUUGCAAGUCCAAGUGGUGUGCGAAUAUGAAGAUGUGUUUCCUGAAGAGUUGCCAGGCAUGCCUCCGCACAGAUAAGUUAAGUUUGUGAUUGAGCUAGAGCCAGGCACACAGCCAGUGUGCAAACGGCCGUACAAGCUGCAUCCAGAAGAAUUGAAGGAACUUAAGAGGCAACUCGAUGAGCACCAGCGUUUGGGUUUGAUCAGACCGAGCUCGCCUCCGUGGGGCUGUGGUGUUCUGUUUGUCAAUAAGAAGGAUGGCACGGACCAGCUUGUGUCGAUUACCGUCCAUUGAAUAAGAAGACAAUCAGGAACAAAUAUCCACUUCCGAACAUAACUGAGUUGUUCGAACAGUUGAAAGGUGCUAAGGUCUUCUCCAAGCUUGAUCUCAGGAUGGGCUAUCAUCAAAUUCGCAUUUGCGAGGAAGAUAUUCCGAAGACUGCCUUCAGGAAUAGUUUUGGCUCGUAUGAGUAUACGGUCAUGUCUUUUGGUCUGGCAAAUGAUCCUCCGACAUUCUGUCGAUUGAUGAACUAUAUAUUCUCUCCGUUCAAGAAUGACUUUGUCUUGCUCUAUCUCGACGACAUUCUGGUCUUUUCUGAAACUAAGGAAGAACAUGAAGAACAUCUCAGGUUGGUGCUUGAUAAGCUGAGAGAGUACAAGCUGUAUGCCAAGUUUUCCAAGUGCGAGUUCUGGAUGAAAGAAGUGGUGUAUCUUGGGCACAUUAUCUCUGCCGAGGUCAUUAAAGUUGAUCCGUCCAAAGUUCAGGCCAUUGUUGAAUGGGAGCCUCCGCAGAAUGUGAAGCAGCUUCGAAGCUUUCUCGGGCUUGCUGGAUAUUGCAUAAGGUUCGUUGAGAACUUCUCCAAGAUUGCCAAGCCACUCUCAAGUCUUCUUCAGAAGGGUGUUAAGUAUGCUUGGUCUCUAGAGUGUCAACUGGCCUUCGAUACACUCAAAGAGAAGCUUACCUCCACUCCAGUCUUGGUCCCUCCGGAUGAUUCCUAGCCGUACCAGGUCUUCUGCGACGCUUCUCUCCAGGGUCUAGGUGCAGUCCUAAUGCAAGAUAAGAAGGUGGUUGCUUAUACCUCCAGGCAGUUGAAGCCAGCGGAGAAUAACUAUCCCGUGCAUGAUCUUGAGCUAGCAGCUGUGGUACACGCUCUGAUGACUUGGAGACACCUCUUGUUGGAACUUAAGGUUGAAGUCUUCACCGAUCACAAGAGUCUCAAGUACAUCUUCACUCAGCCUAACUUAAAUCUUCGGCAAACACGUUGGGUGGAAAUGCUCCAGGAUUUUAAUCCGAGUGUUGAGUACACACCAGGCAAAGCUAAUGUCGUGGCGGAUGCUUUGAGCAGAAAGGCAUAUUGCAACAGUCUGAUUCUGCAACCUCUCUAGCCUGGUCUUUGUGAGUCUUUCAGGAAGCUCAACCUUCAGCUAGUAUCUCAGGGAUUUCUUGCAAACCUUCAGAUCUCUCCUACCUUGGAAGAUCAGGUCCGAGCAGCACAACUUCUUGACGCUAUGGUGAAGAAGGUCAAGAUUGGUGUGGGAAAGAGUCUCCCCAAAUAUAAGUGCUUCACUAUCGAUGCUAGAGACACGUUGUUUUUUGAGGAUCGCCUUGUCGUACCGAAAUGUGAUCUCAGGAAGGUAAUCAUGGAGGAAGCUCAUAACUCUCUGCUCUCUAUUCAUCCUAGAAGCUCCAAAAUAUACCAUGACUUGAAGCAGACCUUCUGGUGGACUCGUAUGAAGCGCGAGAUUGCUCAGUUCGUAAAUGAAUGUGAUGUAUGUCGAAGGGUGAAAGCAGAGCAUCAACGCCCAACAGGCCUGUUGCAGCCGUUGCCGAUUCCCGAGUGGAAGUUUGAUCACAUUGAGAUGGAUUUCGUCACCGGGUUUCCGAAGUCCAAGAAGGGUAAUAAUGCCAUCUUCGUCGUCAUCGACAAGUUGAGUAAAGCGGCUCAUUUUCUUCCAGUCAAGGAGUCCAUUUCAGCAGCUCAGCUGGCAGAGUUGUACACCUCCAGGAUUGUCUCUUUGCACGGCGUGCCUAUAAUGAUCUCUUCAGAUCGCGGAAGUAUCUUCACUUCCAAGUUCUAGGACUCCUUUCAGUCUGCUAUGGGCACGAAGAUCCGCUUCAGCACAUCGUUCCAUCCUCAGACUAGUGGUCAAGUGGAGAGAGUGAAUCAAGUUCUUGAGGAUAUGCUGAGAGCCUGUGUUAUCUCUUUUGGCAUGAAGUGGGAAGAUUGUGUGCCUUUCGCGGAGUUCUCUUAUAGCAACAGUUAUCAAGCUAGUUCUGGCAAGGCUCCGUUUGAAAUUCUCUAUGGCAAGAAGUGUCGUACCCCGCUCAACUGGUCUGAGACCGGCGAGCAUCAGGUCCUUGGGAAUGAUAUGAUAGAAGAGGCUGAGGAGAUGUGUUGGAUCAUUCGCGACAACCUCAGAGCAGCUCAGUCCCGUCAGAAGAGCUAUUAUGAUAGCAAGUACCGUGACAUGUCUUAUGAGCUUGAUGACUUCGUCUAUCUCAAGGUGUCGCCUAUGAAGGGUGUGCAACGCUUUGGCAUCAAAGGCAAGCAUGCGCCUCGUUUCAUUGGUCCGUUCAGAGUGGUUGGCAAGAGAGGCGACCUUGCGUACCAGCUCGAGCUUCCGGCAAACUUUGCAAAUGUCCAUGAUGUGUUCCAUGUUUCUCAGCUUCAGAGGUGUUUCAAGACCCCCGAGCGCACUGUUCAUCUUCAAGACAUCAACCUUCAGCCUGACCUUUCUUAUCGUGAGCAUCCAGUUGCGGUUCUCGAGGCAACUGACUGCAAGACCUGCAACAAGACCGUCAAAUUUCUCAAAGUGCAGUGGUCACACCAUUCCGAUAAAGAGGCUACUUGGGAACGCGAGGAUCACCUCCGUUCCAAAUUUCGCGAUUUCUUUCAGCCUUAGAUCUCGGGGCGAGAUCUUUUUUGUAGUGUGGGAGAAUUUGUAGUGCCCCAAGUGUAAAGCUUUCCCUUUUUGUAACCUUCCAUGUGGGACCACCUUGACAUUUUCAUGAGAGCUAUCUAUGCAUGUAUGAUUUCAUGUGUCACCUUGUAUUUCUUCUUUUCCAUGCAUGCAUCCAUGCCAUACCAUUCUUACCAUGCCUUGUUGUGCUUGAAUCAAUACCUUGCCAUGUCAUGUUGUGAUCUUGUGAAUUCAGGUGUGAUGCUCAUGAGAUGUGGGGGUGAGUAGAAGUGAUAUGGUGGUUGUUUACUUCAAAACCCUUUUCUAAUUCAAAAACCCCUUUUCUCUCUUUUAAUCUCAAGUUCAAACUCCACUUGCUCCUAAGCUGAUUUAAAAACGUCUUUUGUUUAGGAAAUAAAGUGGGUAUAUUGGGGUGCUAAAUUUGCUGUUUUGAAAAGUGUUCUAAAGGUGCAAAAUAAACAGAAAACAGAAACUAUAAUGCUGUUUUGUAUUUAUUUAGUUUGCCCCAAAAAUUGCUUUAGUAUUAUAUUUAAAUGGGGUAUUUAUUUUCAGGUCCAGGGGCAUUUUUGUUUUGUUUUUAUCUUCAAUGGUUUGCCCUGUGGGCCUUUUCUUUUGUCUGUGCUUUAGUUAAAUAGGAAAUAGCCAGAGUUUGCUUUUUCUCUUAUGUGUCGCUUUGGUGGGCUUCCUCCCACCGAGAGAGGCCCAUCUUCCCCCCUGUCCUAUGCGCUAGCCCAAUCCCGCGUCCCUCUCUUCCUCCUAUCGACGUCAUCUCUGUACGACUGCAUCUCCUGCUCCCGUUCGUCCAUAGCGCGAUCCAGUGGUCAAGCGCCCUCCCCGAGGUAAUAUAAGACGCAGGGAACCCUCCUCCUUCCCUAGGUUUCCCUCUCCUUCCUCCAGUGCGCCGCCACCUUCUCUCUUCUAAUUCCCCCCUCUGGUAAGCCUGUGUACGAGUUGCAGAGAGAGAGAGAUCAGCCCUGCCGCGUCUACCCCGCCGUCUCCGUCGAGCAGCGCCGGCGGCCAUGUCCAGGAGCACGGGGUAGGAGCCUGCGCUCCAUUCCCGUCCUCGGUGAGGCCCGGGAGCGACCUCAUCCAGGGGCAGCUCCACGUCAACGUUGCGCUCUCGGUGGACUCCCUCCCUGUUCCUCUGCUUCGGUUCAACGACAGGGGCUUCUUCAUCAGCGAUCUUCUUCCCCUCGAGCGACUUCUCCAUCGAUCGGCGCCCUUCCUCCUUCCCCUAGGUGAGCAGGAGCUCCUCCCUCCUUCCUCCCUCCUUCUCGCCGCUUAGACCAAGCAGGGGAUCGCCGGAGUAGUUUCUGCCAGGAAGAGAUCCGGCGCGCUAGAUGUAUGUUGGGUGUGUUGUUGCCUUGUGUGCGUUAGGGUUGUGGCCUAGAAGGGGCUUCACCCCCUUGUAGCGAUCUGUGGUAGGGCCCUCCUCUUGGCGCAGCAGCAGCAGUAGCGAGGCAUGCCCGGUGACCUCCCUGUCGCCGGCAGCCUCUGUAGGCAGAGCAGGAACUCCUGCUAGCAUUCCUUGCACGCAUGCCCUUCUCUGUCAGUAUCCUUUCCCGUAGCGUAGUGGUAUCGCUCGUCGUGUGCCUAUUGGAAGGUGUGGGUUUGAAUCCCCCUUGGCACCCCUUUUUAUUUUGUAUUUCUUUGGCACAGUAAGCCACCAGGGACAAGUUUCCUUGCUUGCGCAUCUCUCUCUGUCGAGCAAAGGCUGGUAGCAGAGUGGUGUUGGUCUGAUGAGGUGACCCAGGGGAUGUGGGAUUGAAUCCCUCCCCUGCCCUUUUAUUUUUGUUGUUGUUGCAAUGUAAAUCUGUUUUGCUAUGCGUUGUUUGUUUAGUUGCUGCAGAGGCUUGGCCUCAUGUGGGUGUUUUAUCCACUCACUUCAGUAUGUAGUUCCUAUGCUAGCAAGAGUAGGGUGCAUGGUAGAUAUAACUUGUGAAGGUAAGCAUGCAUAUAUCUGAGAGCAUACAUGUGUGUGUGUGUGUAAGUAGGUGUGUGUGUCUGCACCUUGUGAGUGUUUGUCACCAAGUGGUGAUGUAUAUGUAGGGGGUGAGCCUUGUGAAUGAAAGUGGAUCUUAAUUACUAGCUUGUGCAAGUGAUGUGUUGUAUGUGUGUGGAGAAAACAGCCCCACUUGCAACUUGUGCACCUCCUCAUGUUAAUAUGAGAGAGGGCAUGAUGUGUGUGUGUGUGGGUGAUCUUGUGGUAGUAGUGUUUGUGAUGUUGUUGUGCAUGACACAAACAUGGGUUCCAAACCCUCAUGUCCAUAUUUUUCAUUGUGCACAUGAACAUAGCUAUGUGGUAGUUGAUCUAGUGUGUGCACAUGAAAUGUUGCACUAUUCCAUUUGUAGGAAUCUAUGUAGUUUUUCCCUCCUAGUUUGUGGCCACUUGCUCCAAACAGGUGCAUGCAUAUUUUAUAUGAGUUGGGGUAGAAAGAUCCCAGUAAUCCAUUGGAGAAAUCAUUUUUGCCACUGGAACAUUUUCUGGAGANNNNNNNNNNNNNNNNNNNNNNNNNNNNNNNNNNNNNNNNNNNNNNNNNNNNNNNNNNNNNNNNNNNNNNNNNNNNNNNNNNNNNNNNNNNNNNNNNNNNNNNNNNNNNNNNNNNNNNNNNNNNNNNNNNNNNNNNNNNNNNNNNNNNNNNNNNNNNNNNNNNNNNNNNNNNNNNNNNNNNNNNNNNNNNNNNNNNNNNNNNNNNNNNNNNNNNNNNNNNNNNNNNNNNNNNNNNNNNNNNNNNNNNNNNNNNNNNNNNNNNNNNNNNNNNNNNNNNNNNNNNNNNNNNNNNNNNNNNNNNNNNNNNNNNNNNNNNNNNNNNNNNNNNNNNNNNNNNNNNNNNNNNNNNNNNNNNNNNNNNNNNNNNNNNNNNNNNNNNNNNNNNNNNNNNNNNNNNNNNNNNNNNNNNNNNNNNNNNNNNNNNNNNNNNNNNNNNNNNNNNNNNNNNNNNNNNNNNNNNNNNNNNNNNNNNNNNNNNNNNNNNNNNNNNNUGGACCUGAUAUGUUUUUAUAGCUCACUGUAAAAGUUCAAGUCAUUUGGAGUCCUGUAGAUAUUGUAUUGGCUGCUGUCAAAAUGCUUCAGAGCAUAGACAGAAAGUGAGAAUCUGGAAUUUUCACUAAGUCCCUGAAAACUGAUGUUUUUGGGCAAGUUCGCAGCCUUAUAACUUUCUGUGUUUAAUUCCUUUUUGUGUGAUUCUUGCUUGUCCUUGUAGUAUUCUUGGAUAGCUACAUCCACAUAUAUUAUUUGUCAUAGUUGGGUGGCUGUAGGUACUUUGCAUGUAGCUCACAAAGUGCUAUGAUGCAGUUUAUGGCAGAUUGAGUAGGUUUGUCAUUUUGAUGUUUGUGAGUGCUUAGUUGAUGUUGUGGUGUUCUUAUUUGCUCCACCCUAUCCAUGAUGGUUUUUUUUAUUUCUUGGAAACCUGGGAAUACCUGAUUUGUGCCAAUUGAGUGUGUGGUGAUGAUUUUGCUACGUAGGGCUUCAUAUCUUGUUUCGUUGAAUCCCGUUGAUCCGUAGCUCCGAUUGUAAUGUUCUUUAUAUGGUUUUGCCUCGUUUUCACGAUACGCAUAUGAUCAUGUCAUUCUCAUGCAUGUCAAAAUAGGUUAGCAUGCAGUUCUAUCCAGGAACAUGUAUUUACUCCUUAUGCUUGUGCUAGUGAUAGAAAUAGUGAUGCAUGCUCAUAUUCAUCUCUUGCAUCAUGUGCUUGUUGCAUCUUGAGGUGCUGUUGUUCAUUGGAUGUUAUUCUUAUGUUGGGUAGCACCGGGAUCGGAGAACGAAUACGUGGAGUCAGGAGAUAACGUGCAGGACGAUCAAGAACCAUUCCAAGCUGAGGAUAUCACAGGCAAGAUGAUAUGACCUUGAUUCCAUCUCUAGACUUGUUAUGCUAGAUUACGUUUCCUUGUCAUAUGCUCGCUGCCUAGCACUGAAAUAUUUGUCUCUUGAUAUGCCAUGAACCCAAACACUGAUCCCUUCCUACCAAACGUGAAUGGCUAAGUAAGCUUUGCUCAGCUACUAAUGUUAGCGUUGUUAGAUGCAGGUGCUUUGAUUCAUGUGAUAACAUGAGCUUGAUAUCAUUAUCUUAAAUUCUGUUACUUAAAUAAUGCACAUAUAUACUUGGUAAAUAACGGAAGUCCUAGCCUUUUUCCGGGUGCUUUGUUCCGUUAUUGCCGCCAUAGUUACCGGCGACCGGUGUUUGAUUCCAUAUUGAUCGCUCCUAACACGUUCGGGGUUGUUAUGGGGACCCCCUUGAUAAAUCGCGUAGUGUUAAGACUUGUCCGGCACGACCCAACAUUGGUGUUAAUUUUCUAAUCACUUAAUAAUAAUCUGCAUAGGGAAUAGCUACCUCGAGGAAUUUAAUCAACAACUCGGGCCAGUGCUCCUCAUGAGUGUUGGUCCAAACUGGGCAGACUAUGGGGCCACCACAGGGCAACCUGAGGUUUGGUAUACCUGUAGUGUGACUCAUCCGGCGUGUCCUGAGACUGAGAUACACAGCUCUUAUCAGGGUCGUCGACACGUCGGGAGGUCCUGCUAGUCUUGUCUUACCUUAGCAAUAUAUCUUGCGUAUAGGAAUCCCGGUGAAUCUUUGGUUCUCCCCAGAGUUGAGGUUUUCCUCUAAGGAAUCCGACGAGAUCACGAGAUUCGUGAUAGAGGAUUACUUUGCGGCCUGUGUACGUUUGUGAUGGACUAGUUGGAGCACCCCUGCAGGGUUUAAUCUUUCGGAAAUCCGUGCCCAUGGUUAUGUGGCAACUUGGAAUAUUUUGUUAACAUCCUGUAUUAGAUAACUUAAACAUAAGCUAAUAAAAUUGCCAACUGUGUGCGUAACCGUGACUGUCCCCUCGAAGAUCUCUCUUCGAUCGGGAACACGGUGGGGUUAUGAAUGACGUAGGUAGGUGUUCAAGAUCACUUAGUGAUCAAGUAUUCUCGAUCGCUAGUAUGGACCACCUUCAUAAAUGUUCUACGUAAGUUAGCCACCAUAUCAAGCUUAGGAUGCUGCAACCUUAAACACUCUACCCUAUCCAACCUAAUAACUUGACUAGUUCUGGUACCAAGGUCUUAGAUUGCUGAGCCCCGUGGCUCACGGAUUCCUCCACAAUACCCAGAGACAGAUGAUCCUGACGGCACGUAGCUGGCGUGGCAGUACGAUGAGGAGACAGACCGCCUGUACGUGAACUAUCCAGAAGAUUGAGGCGUGGUCAUGAUCGUGGGCCAGCAGGCAGGGUAGCAUAGCCUUUUCUCCUGUUUUGUAGUCCGUAGCGGAACUACUUUGGUUGUAUGCGUGAUGUACUCUGAUAUAUUUAUGAGAAGGCAAUUGAACCCCUGAUUGUCUAUGUUUUAUUAUUAUGUAUGUGUUGUGUUACCUGAUUGCGAGACGCUUAGAUGCGCUCCUUUCCAAUUCGGGGCCUCGAUCCCCAAAUCGGAAAGGACCGCAUCUUGGUCGUUACACUACCCUACUCUCAUAGAUUGUGACAUUAACAAUCAGACUCAUAUAGAUAUGUUCUUCAAAAGAUGUUCUGGAGGAUAACAUCUCUGCUUCAAUAGGCCACUUAGAACAUAUUAAGAGGUAUAUCAACCUGCCAUGCAGUUUAGGAAGGUAUCGCAUCUUCAUGGAGUGGUAUUAUUAAUGAUAAGGAUACUUUUCUCUCAGUUGACCAACAUCUUGUCUUCCACAUCUAAUUCACGGGAUCUCCGAUCAGAAAGAAUAGGUUACCACUGUGAACAACUCAAAUUGUGGGUCUCAUACCCAUCUCCCUCGAUGCAUUUUCUAUCACAUUACGCGAUAGACCCUUAGUAAAAGGAUCUACCAGAUUUUUAGAUGUUUGGAUAUAAUCCAAUGCAAUAACUCCGGAGUUUCUCAUUUUCCUGACAGAUUUUAACCUUCUAUGAAUGUGUCUUGAUGAGUUCAUGUUAUCCUUUGAGCUGGUCACUUUGGUGAUCACAGUUUGAUUGUCGCAGUUCAUAAGGAUACCCGGUACAGGUUUCUCGAAAACCGGCAAGUCACUCAAGAGCCGGCGAAGCCAAUCUGCUUCGACCGUAGCAGUAUCUAGUGUUGUGAGUUCUGCUUCCAUUGUUGACCUUGUUAAGAUUGUUUGCUUGCAAGACUUCCAAGAAACAGCGCCACCUCCAUGAGUGAAUACAUAUCCGCUCGUGGCCUUUAUCUCAUCAGCAUCAGAGAUCCAGUUUGAAUCACUAUACCCUUCAAGCACCUUUGGGUGUCCAGUAUAGUGAAUUCCAUAAUUUGCAGUGCCUUUCAAAUAAUGCAAAACUCUCUCUAGAGCUUUCCAAUGCACAUCUCCGGGUUUUGAGACAAACCAACUCAAUUUGCUAACAACAAAAGAGAUGUCAGGUCUUGUAGCACUAGCUAAGUACAUAAGCCAACCAAUAAUCUGAGAAUAUUUCAAUUGGUCUCUAGCAAUUCUUCGAUUCUUUCGAAGUAGCACGCUCGCAUCAUAUGGUGUGGGAGAGGACUUGCAGUCACUAUACCCAAAGCGACUCAAGAUCUUUUCCACAUAGUGAGAUUGAAGCAAAGUAAUCCCACCAUCUUCGCCUCUUAACAAUUUGAUGUUCAGAAUGACAUUAGCCACUCCUAAAUCCUUCAUCUCAAAACAGUGAGACAGGAAAUCUUUGACCUCUUUAAUAACAUUCAGAUUUGUUACGAAAAUCAGUAUGUCAUCAACAUACAAGCAAAGGAUAACUCCCUCGCCCCCACCAUGGCGAUAGUACACACAUUUAUCAGCUUUGUUUACAACAAAGCCUGCAGUUGUGAGAGUUCUUUCAAACUUCUCAUGCCACUGCUUGGGUGCUUGCUUAAGUCCAUAUAAAGACUUCAGCAACUUGCAUACUUUCCCUUCCUGACCAUCUACUACAAACCCAUCUGGUUGUUCCAUGUAAAUUUCCUCAUCCAACUCUCCUUUUAGGAAAGCAGUCUUAACAUCCAUUUGAUGAACGAGAAGACCAUGUGAGGCAGCUAGUGAAAGUAGUACUCGAAUAGUGGUCAUUCGAGCCACGGGUGAGUAGGUAUCAAAGAAGUCUUCACCUUCCUUUUGGGUAUAACCCUUAGCCACGAGCCAUGCCUUGUACUUUUCGAUAGUACCAUCAGGCCUAAGCUUCUUCUUGAAUACCCAUUUGCAUCCUAUAGGUUUGCACCCAUAAGGACGAUUAGUGAUGUCCCAAGUUUCAUUUGCCAAGAUGAAAUCCAUCUCACUACGGACUGCUUCCUACUAGUAGUCAGCAUCUUCAGACGCAUAGGCCUCUGAAAUAGAACUGGGAGUGUCAUCUAUGAUAUAUACAAGAAAAUCAUCACCAAAGGACUUUGGAGUCCUCUGUCUUAUGCUCCUGGUAGGAACUUCAUUUGUCUCCUCCACAAUAUUUUCAAAGUGUUCCAUCGAAAUGAUAGGUUCAGUAAUUGUGACUAAUUCAUGGUUUGAUGAAUUAGGCAUCUCCUGAUUAGAUGAGGUAGCUAUAUCCUUCAUGGGAAAGAUAUCUUCGAAGAAAGUCGCAUCAUUUGACUCCAUGAUUGUACCGACAUGCAUAUCAGAUACCUCAGAUUAUAUAACCAAGAAUCUAUAUCCAAUGCUAUGAAAAGCAUAUAGCAGAAAAACACAAUCCACAGUUUUUGGUCCUAGCUUGCGCUUCUUUGGGAUUGGCACAUUGACUUUCGCCAGACAUCCCCAGGUUCGUAGAUAAGAGAGUUUUAACCUUUUAUUUUCCCAUUCCUCGAAUGGAGUUAUCUCUUUGUUCUUUGUGGGAACUCGAUUCAGGACAUGACAUGCAGUUAAUAUCGCCUCCCCCCACCAUGCCUUGGAGAGACCCGAUGUAUCUAACAUGGCGUUAACCAAAUCAGUUAGAGUACGGUUCUUUCUUUCGACUAUCCCAUUUGAUUGAAGUGAAUAGGGAGGCGUCCUCUCAUGAAUUAUACCAUGUUCCACAUAAAAACAAUCAAAUUCAUUUGAGAAAUACUCUCCACCAUGAUCGGACCUAAGCCUCUUGAUCUUUCGAUCAAGUUGGUUUUCUGCUUCAGCUUUAUAGAUCUUGAAAAAGUUCAAAGCCUCAUCCCUAGAUUUCAGAAGAUACACUUGGCAGUAUCUAGUGGAGUCAUCAAUUAGUGUCAUGAAAUAUUUCUUUCCACCUUUUGUCAAAAUGCCAUUCAUUUCACAUAGAUUUGAAUGUAUGAGCUCUAGUGGUGCUAGAUUUCUCGUUUCGGCAGUCGUGUGGGACUUACGAGGUUGUUUGGCUUGCACACAAACUUGACACUUAGAUCCCCUGACGGUGGUAAAGCUAGGGAUUAAGUUCAAUUUGACUAGUCAUGACAUGCAACCAAAAUUAACAUGACAAAGACGUGAAUGCCACACAUUUGAUUCACUAUUGUUGUAAACAUGAUUAACAACUUUAUUGCAAACGUCUGCCAAGGAUAAACGGAACAGGCCUCCUGACUCGUAGCUCUUACCAACAAAAGUUCCAUACUUGGAUAUUACAAAUUUAUUAGACUCAAAGACAAGCUUGUAGCCAUCUCUACAAAAAAGAGAUCCGCUAACAAGAUUUUUAUUGACGGAGGGGACAUAAUGCACGUUGUUCAGCCGCACGAUCUUUCCCGAAGUAAACUUCAGAUCGACCGUGCCAACACCACGAACAGAAGCACGUGAACCGUUGCCCAUCAGGACGGUGGAAGUCCCUGCAGACUGAUAAGAUGAAAACAUGGAAAUAUCACUGCAUAUAUGCACAUUAGCACCUGUGUCAAUCAACCAAUCACGAAAAUGACAUACUAAAAGAAUAGUGGGUAAUAUACCAUACCCAACAUCCUCCAUGUCAGUGUUAGCAAUGACGACAUUAGGAGACUUGCUUCCUUUCCCAUGUUGACGCUUGUCAUAACGAUUAGGGCAGUUAGGUGGGCAAUGAUCAGGAUCUCCGCACACAUGACAAACACCUUUCUUCUUGUCAUUCUUCUUCUUGAAGUUGGUGUGUUGUACAUCCUUGUUCUUCCCAUCGAACUUUGCUUUACCAUCAAACUUGCCCUUGUUCUUGAAAUUGUGGGGCUGGAAGUUUUUCUUCUGUACCAGAUUGGCACUAGAACCUCCCUCAAUAGCUCGAGCACAUGUGUCUCUUGCUCUCACCUUUUCUUCCAUAUCAAGAGUACCAAUGAGAUCCGGAACGAAAAACUCCUGUCUCUUAUGCUUUAGUAAGGUAGCAAAGUUCCUCCAUGAAGGAGGAAGUUUAGUGAUGAUGCCUCCGGCAAUAAACUUGUCCGGUAGCAUGCAAUUGAAGUGUUCAAGUUCUCUUGCAAAUGACUGUAUUUCGUGAGCUUGGUCAACCACGGAGCGCUCUUUAGUCAUUCUGUAGUCAUAGAAUUGUUCCAUGAUGUACAACUCAGUGCCAGCAUCCGAGGCUCCAAACUUGGUCUCGAGUGCAUCCCACAUAUCUUUUCCAUUAUAAGUUGACGUCUAAGCAUCAACUAUGUUCUCACCAAGAACGCUCAAGAGAGCAACCUUAAACAAGGUAUCCAUUUUCUGAAAAGCUAGCUCCUGUUGAGCAUCAUGAUCUCCUUCAGGUUUGCCAAGAGUGGCGUCAUAGUAGCUCAUGGUUUGAAACCAAAGAACAGCUCUCACGCGCCAUCUCUUGUAGUGAACACCCUCAAACAUAGGAGGUCUCAUGGAGGCAGCAAAACCACUCGGGGUAAAUUGCCUAUAAUAAGGUUUUUGGAUUGUUGGAAAUAUGAGCAAUUUACCAAAGGAUUUUAUUAAAAGAAAAGCUAGGAUAAACAUAACCAUCAUAAUAAAGACGGAAGAAGGCAAGCAAUAUGGAGAUGAAAUGACAAAAGACAUGUGCACAUAUGAUCUAGAAAAGAACAUAUGUGUAACCGUUCUAUAUAGACAAGCUAUCAUAUGAAGUGAUGAGCAGAAACAGAACAUAUCUAGAAGAGAUACUAUAGCAAAAAGUUGCGGUAGAAACUGAAAGAAGAAGAAUAUGAGUACGUACUGAGUUGCAACAUCAUUAGGAUUGGUGUUGGCGUUGUCGUUGGCCAUGUUACCAGAGAGGUGGUCGACGUCGGGGAAGUAGUCAUCGUCUGGGAAGAAAUUGUCGGUGUCUGUGAUGGAAGCCAGUAGUCGCGCUGAGCGCUCCCCAAAAACCUUAUCGCCCUUCUCCCGUACAGGACUCGAAGAGACGGAGUUUCAGAGUCCUACUGUCCCGACGAAUGGUGCACGCCGCAAGACAGGAUGGGGAAGAACGCAGCAGCAGCACAGAGAAAGGAACUGGUGGUGGCGAGUGGGAACUUCUGAUGCGUCAUCUCUGGAGAGGAGCGACCUCUCUUUUAUAGGCGCAGGAGAAGGAGGCGAGAGGCCAGCGACGGGAGCCGAAGAGAGCGAUGGGAUAUGAAACGAACACACAUCAGCGACGAAACGACUUGGCUCAAUCCCGCAACCCGCGACGCGUCGUGACGAGGCGAGGCGGGCGGCGGAAGAGGAGGAGCGCGCGUGUAUGUCUCUCUUGUUCUCAAGCUCAUACAUGUGUGUAAACAUCCUCCCUUAUAAGGAGGUCCAACUCCCACUAAACUAGCAAUGUGGGACUAAACAUUUCCACCUAUUGCCUUGCACAAAUGGGCCGCGUGGGCCUCUAGGAUUUAUUAGGAAUUUUCUUAAAUCAUACUAGCAAAAAUGCCCGUGCGUUGCAACGGAAAAAAAACUAUUGUAUUGCUAUUAAAAAAAGGCUAGUAGCAUGUCCAACAAUGCGACACAGGCUCCAUGGUCAAUACACAAUUUUUCCACUGAUGAAUUAAGCCUAAGGAAUUUUUAAUAAAAUUAUAGUUUAACGAUACUCAAUCACCCUUAGUGAAUGUACAUGAUUCAAAAAUGAAGUCACAUGAUUCAAAAAUUAAUAAUAGGACACACACAAAUAAAAUAUUAUGAUUGUGUUUGACAACAAAGUAUGUAUUAUAAGAUUAUAGUAUUUUUGCCUCUGGACCAAUAUACCGUGGUUUUUAUAUCAAAGUAGUUUAAAUUAUCAGUAACACAGAGGUGAGCUAGUUGUUGUAUGCACAAACUUGUAGUAGCCAGCUAGCUAGUUGUGCUACCAUCUUCAUGUUUUAUUUUUCGUAACAUAAUUUUGUAACAAAGUUCACUAUUUUGAGGGUUCAAAAUAACUCAGACAGCUGAAAAAUUACACGCAUAUAAGGCUGUUGCGUACAUAUCCUGUGUGAAAGAGCCGGUCAACACGUCAGCUGGGUCUAGAAGAAACGAGCCGCCUCAUUAAGAACCGGUCAACAUGUCAGCUGAAUUGAGAAGAAGACCAGCCGCUUCGCUGCGCUCCUCAACCCCCGAGAUUCACAUAAGGUCACGACAGUGCUCGGUCCUCGCUGGACUCGUCGUUCGCAGCAAACUCACCGAAGCUCCACCACCCGCUGGGAUCUUCCGCUCCCCAAACAGAGGAGCUAGCUCCGACACGCUCAAGGCCGCCAUCACUCUAGCGCUGACGGCCACUCUCUUACCUCGGUUGUCUCUCUUCCUUUGGGAUUUAUUAGUUGCAGCCACUUUCUAUUAGGCUGCAAUUAAUCUUGGUAAUGUAGUAGUAGAUUCAGCCAGUCUUGAGUCUUCAGAACUCUCCUCCCUAGCUGGGAAUGCAAAUGCUUCUUUCCUAGAUUUUAUGCGCCUCUCUUCAAUCUUAUAUGCAUGUAUGAGCCUGCCUCUUCAAGGUAUAUGUGCGGCUGGUCUCUCUCUUUUUGUUUUUGCCUUGACUUGUUUGAUGUUUGCAACUCAAGAACGUAAGCAGGGUGGGACUAUUGCUUCUUAUUAUCAUAACUUUGUCCGGUUUUGGUGUCGCGGCAAAAAGGACACUGGAGUGCUCGAUAGAUGUCAUUCUACCUCCGGAGAAUUCGAUGCUUCUUCCUCCGACGAACUCGGCAGCGAUGGGCGCGACCGGCAACAGCUCGACGCCGUGCUGCCGCGCCCAAGCCCCCGCAAGGCGGCCUCCAUCCUCCAUCUCCCGAGCACUUCCGCGGCCGCGCGCGGCACCGCCCACUCCUUCUCCACGUGCCCGGGCCUGCUCCGCCGCUCCGGCCGCGAUGCGUGCCCCACUCCAGCCCGACCGUCCGCGUCGCCGUGCCACCCCUGGCUGCUGGCAUCCCGCGUCACCGGAGCAAUUCCUCACGCCACCUGCCAGAUCCCUCCCUCACCUUGCGCCCUGCUUCUCCUUUUUCCUCUCUUUCCUCUUUCCAUCACGCCAUGUCUCUCUCUUACAAUGGAGUAGCAGGACACCGCCGCCACCGGAGCAAGCCGCCGCACCACCCGCCGGAUCUCUCGAUACCUCGGCCAGAUCCAUAUGUUUUCAUGUUUUUUCACUUCAAAAGGACCGCAUGUUGAAUAUAGGAAACCACAGGGUUUGCCUUGCAAAAUGUGUAAACGAAACGUUAUUCAACUUAAAAACAUACUGCGGGUUGAAUAGCAAAAACAUCAGGGGCUUUUCUAAAAAAUUACCACGCGACGACGGAUGACAGAAGCAGUAGACGCUUUAUUAUUAGGGAGAGAUAUAUUGGGCUCGCCCAUAUUUGGACAAAAUUCCAGCAAUCCCCCACAAGAUCCCAGAGGCACACAAAAUUUUCCUUUGGUUCCAAAACACUGUUUUAUAUACCGAUACUGCAGUGGAGACUGUUAAGUUGAACUUCCACCUAGAACUCUAUGCUACACUAGUAAGCAACUUGAACAGUGGACUAGGCCUUGGACUGCAAGUUUUCUGCGCAACUGGCUUCACACAGAGGUUUGAUCGAUACUAGGCUACUGUGGGACUUCCCCGCGGAUGGAGCUUAUGCGUCAUACUCCGAGCCUUUCAUGAGUUUACUAGAGAGCACCCUACUCUCAUAGAUUGCGAUGUUAACAAUCAGAGUCAUAUAGCUAUGUUCUUCAAAAGAUGUUCUACAGGAUAACAUCUCUGCUUCAAUAAGCCACUUCGAACAAAUUAAGAUGUAUAUCAACCUGCCAUGCAGUUUAGGAAAGUAUUGCAUCUUCAUGGAGUGGUAUUAUUAAUGAUAAGGAUACUUUCCUCUCAGUUGACCAACAACUUGUUUUCCACAUCUAAUUCACGGGAUCUCCGAUCACAAAGAAUAUGUUACCACUGUGAACAACUCAAAUUGUGGGUCUCAUACCCAUCUCCCUCGAUGCAUUUUCUAUCACAUUACACGAUAGACCCUUAGUAAAAGGGUCUGCCAGAUUUUUAGAUUAUUGGAUAUAAUCCAAUGCAAUAACUCCCGAGUUUCUCAUUUUCCUGACAAACAUUAACCUUCUCUGAAAGUGUCUUGAUGACUUCAUGUUAUCCUUUGAGCUGCUCACUUUCGUGAUCACAGUUUGAUUGUCGUAGUUCAUAAGGAUACCCGGUACACGUUUCUCGACAACCGGCAAGUCACUCAAGAGCCGGCGAAGCCAAUCUGCUUCGACCAUAGCUGUAUCUAGUGCUGUGAGUUCUGCUUCCAUUGUUGACCUUGUUAAGAUCGUUUGCUUGCAAGACUUCCAAGAAAUAGCGCCACCUCCAUGAGUGAAUACAUAUCCGCUCGUGGCCUUUAUCUCAACAUGAUUAGAGAUCCAGUUUGAAUCACUAUACCCUUCAAGCACCUUUGGGUGUCCAGUAUAGUGAAUUCCAUAAUUUGAAGUGCCUUUCAAAUAACGCAAAACUCUCUCUAGAGCUUUCCAUUGCACAUCUCCUGGUUUUGAGACAAACUGACUCAAUUUGCUAACAGCAAAAGAGAUGUCAGGUCUUGUAGCACUGGCUAAGUACAUAAGCGAGCCAAUCAUCUGACAAUAUUUCAAUUGGUCUCUAGCAAUUCUUCGAUUCUUUCGAAAUAGCAUGCUCGCAUCAUAUGGUGUGGGAGAGGACUUGCAGUCACUAUACCCAAAGCGACUCAAGAUCUUUUCCACAUAGUGAGAUUGAAGCAAAGUAAUCCCACCAUCUUCAUCUCUUAACAACUUGAUGUUCAGAAUGACAUAAACCACUCCUAAAUCCUUCAUCUCAAAACAGUGAAAUAGGAAAUCAUUGACCUCUUUAAUAACAUUCAGAUUUGUUCCGAAAAUCAGUAUGUCAUCAAUAUACAAGCAAAGGAUAACUCCCUCGCCCCCACCAUGGCGAUAGUACACACAUUUAUCAGCUUCGUUUACAACAAAGCCUGCAGUUGUGAGAGUUCUUUCAAACUUCUCAUUCCACUGCUUGGGUGCUUGCUUAAGUCCACAUAAAGAUUUCAACAACUUGCAUACUUUCCCUUCUUGACCAUCUACUACAAACCCAUCUGGUUGUUCCAUGUAAAUUUCCUCAUCCAACUCUCCAUUUAGGAAAGCAGUCUUAACAUCCGUUUGAUGAAUGAGAAGACCAUGUGAGGUGGCUAGUGAAAGUAGUACCCGAAUAGUGGUCAGUCGAGCCACGGGUGAGUAAGUAUCAAAGAAGUCUUCACCUUCCUUUUGGAUAUAACCCUUAGCCACGAGCCGUGCCUUGUACUUUUCGAUAGUACCAUCAGGCCUAAGCUUCUUCUUGAAUACCCAUUUGCAUCCUAUAGGUUUGCACCCAUAAGGACGAUCAGAGAUGUCCCAAGUUUCAUUUGCCAAGAUGGAAUCCAUCUCACUACGGACUGCUUCCUUCUAGUAGUCAGCAUCUUCAGACGCAUAGGCCUCUGAAAUAGAACUAGGAGUGUCAUCUAUGAGAUACACAAGAAAAUCAUCACCAAAGGACUUUGGAGUCCUGUGUCUCUUGCUCCUGGUAGGAACUUCAUUGUUCUCCUCCACAAUAGUUUCAAAAUGUUCCAUCGAAAUGAUAGGUUCAGUAAUUUUGACUAAUUCAUGGUUUGAUGAAUUAGGCAUCUCUUGAUUAGAUGAGGUAGCUAUAUCCUUCAUGGGAAGGAUAUCUUUGAAGAAAGUCGCAUCAUUUGACUCCAUGAUUGUACCGACAUGCAUAUCAGAUACCUCAGAUUGUACAACCAAGAAUCUAUAUCCAAUGCUAUGAAAAGCAUAUCCCAGAAAAACACAAUCCACAGUUUUUGGUCCUAGCUUGCGCUUCUUUGGGAUUGGCACAUUGACUUUCGCUAAACAUCCCGAGGUUCAUAGAUAAGAGAGCUUUAACCUUUUCUUUUCCCAUUCCUCGAAUGGUGUUAUCUCUUUGUUCUUUGUGGGAACUCGAUUCAGGACAUGACAUGUAGUCAAUAUCGCCUCCCCCCACCAUGCCUUGGAGAGACCCGAUGUAUCUAACAUGGCGUUAACCAAAUCAGUUAGGAUACGGUUCUUUCUUUCGGCUAUCCCAUUUGAUUGAGGUGAAUAGGGAGACGUUAUCUCAUGAAUUAUACCAUGUUUCGCACAAAAAGAAUCAAAUUCAUUUGAGACUCUCCACCACGAUCGGACCUAACCCUCUGGAUCUUUCGAUCAAGUUGGUUUUCUGCUUCAGCUUUAUAGAUCUUGAAAAAGUUCAAAGCCUCAUCCUUAGAUUUGAGAAGAUACACUUGGCAGUAUCUAGUGGAGUCAUCAUUUAGUGUCAUGAAAUAUUUCUUUUCACCUUUUGUCAAAAUGGCAUUCAUUUCACAUAGAUCUGAAUGUAUGAGCUCUAGUGGUGCUAGAUUUCUUGUUUCGGCAGUCGUGUAAGACUUACGAGGUUGUUUGGCUUGCACACAAACUUGACACUUAGAUACCUUGACGGCGGUAAAGCUAGGGAUUAAGUUCAAUUUGACUAGUCGUGACAUGCAACCAAAAUUAACAUGACAAAGACGUGAAUGCCACACAUUUGAUUCACUACUGUUGUAAACAUGAUUAACAACUUUAUUGCAAACGUCUGCCAAGGAUAAACAGGACAGGCCUCCUAACUCGUAGCCCUUACCAACAAAAGUUCCACACUUGGAUAUUGCAAAUUUAUUAGACUUAAAGACAAUCUUGUAGCCAUCUCUACACAAAAGAGAUCCGCUAACAAGGUUUUUAUUGACGGAGGGGACAUAAUGCACGUUCUUCAGCCACACGAUCUUUCCCGAAGUAAACUUCAGAUCGACCAUGCCAACACCACGAACAGAAGCAUGUGAACCGUUCCCCAUCAGGACGGUGGAAGUCCCUACGGACUGAUAAGAUGAAAACAUGGAAAUAUCACAGCAUAUAUGCACAUUAGCACCCGUGUCAAUCAGGAAAAUGACAUACUGAAAGAAUAGUGGGUAUUAUACCAUACCCAAGUAACUGAUGGCGACUCCCACCUCCGCCCACCUCCCACCUCGGCGACUCCAUGGUGAUCUGAACCUCUAGCCGGUGUUUGAUCCUCUUCCUCCGCUCAUCAUCUCAGGUGAACCUUAACACCCCACCUUUACGUGGUUCCGCAUGGCUUGCAUGGCUGGCUCCACUUUGGAUCUGGAUUUUUCUCCUAGUUUCUCCUUCGCGGAUGAGGUUUAUCGCAUCUAUGGCUUUCCGGUGCAUCCAUUGAAACAUCGUCGCUCUUUCACAAUGGCCGCCUCUUUUGGCCGCCAUGCUUUCCGCCUCUCUGAGGAAUCUGUCGCUACUGCGAUUGAAUCAACUAUUGGAGGUUCCAUCAUUGAACUGAGGGUUUCUCAAGUUGCGAACUUGGUUUUCAACUUCAAGGUCUCUUGCCAACAAGUUGGCUUCUACAUUCUGGAUUUACGCUCAUGCAAAUGCUCAAGUUUUAAGUGUUACUUUCAUCUCUGGGGUUAUGGUGUCCCUAAUUGGCGGCGANNNNNNNNNNNNNNNNNNNNNNNNNNNNNNNNNNNNNNNNNNNNNNNNNNNNNNNNNNNNNNNNNNNNNNNNNNNNNNNNNNNNNNNNNNNNNNNNNNNNACAUGAUUAACAUCUACAUUCACCUCCUUAAUCUUGUUGCUUGACUUCACUUCUUGCACUCCGACUUUCCUCCUCAUCUCGAUGAACUUCUGUCGACCGAGGGACUUGGUGAAAAUAUCGGCAAGUUGGUCUUUCGUGUUCACAUGUUGAACCUCGAUCAACCCUUCUUCAAUGCACUCCCGGAUAUGGUGGAACCGGGUAUCUAUGUGCUUGCUCCUUUCGUGAUGAACCGGAUUUUUGCACAACGAGAUUGCAGCUUGGUUAUCGAUCUUCAGUGACACCUUCUGCACCUCCCGCUUUGCAAGAAUAGCUAGGAGUCUUCUCAGCCACACUGCUUGACAAGCCGCCGUGCUUGCCGCUAUGUAUUCUGCCUCGCAUGAAGACAGUGCCACCACCUUUUGCUUCUGAGAAUUCCAGCUAAUCGGAUUCGGGCCAAGGUAGAAAACCAUGCCCGUUGUGCUCUUUCGGUCAUCAACAUCACCUGCCAUGUCGCUAUCUGAAUAUCCACGAAGGAUCAAUCCUUCCUUUCCCUUUCUGUACGUGCAACCACGAUUAAUGGUGCCUUUCACAUAGCGCAAGAUUUGAUUGACCGCGCUCAUGUGCUCGGUUGUCGGAUUCUCCAUGAAACGACUCACGAUCCCGACUGAAUAAGCCAAGUCAGGUCGGGUAUGCACCAAAUAUCUUAGGCUGCCCACAACGCUUCGAUACAUUGUGGUGUCCACCGGCGGAUUUGAGCUACGCUUGCUCAACUUGUGACGUUGGUCCAUUGAAACUUGUGUUGCGUAGCAAUCUGACAUGCCACACUUGUCCAAUAACUUGACCGCGUAAGCCGAUUGACAUAGGGAAAUCUCUCCGGAGCUUUGCUUCACUUCGAUGCCCAAGUAAUAGCUGAGUAAUCCCAGAUCACUCAUGCUAAACUUGUUCUUCAUUUUCGCCUUGAAACGUUCAAUUUCUUGUACGCUAUCUCCGGUGAUAAUCAGAUCGUCGACAUAAACUCCAACUAGCAGGUUUGAGCCUUUGGAGUUCUUUGUAUAGACUGCGUGCUCGAGGGGACAUCUCUUGAACCCGAGCGAGACCAGACUUCGGUCUAACUUUGAGUUCCAAGCUCUUGGCGCUUGCUUCAACCCGUAAAGUGCCUUCUUGAGCUUGUAAACUUUCCCUUCUUCGCCUUUCUUCUCGUAGCCGAGGGGUUGUUCCACGUACACUUCUUCUGUGAGAUCGCCGUUGAGGAAAGCGGAUUUAACAUCCAUAUGAUGAACCUUCCAAUCCUCUUGUGCUGCCAAAGCUAGGAGCACUCUCACCGUCUCGAGUCGAGCAACCGGUGCAAACACCUCAUUAUAGUCAACUCCUUGACGUUGUACGUAGCCCUUUGCAACGAGUCUUGCCUUGUACUUCACCAUGGCACCUUGUGUGUCUUUCUUUAACUUGUAAACCCACUUCAAACCUAUCGCCUUUUGGUCUGGAGGACGGGUUACCAAGGUCCACGUGUCAUUGCUCUCAAUUGCCUUCAUCUCCUCAUCCAUGGCGUGCGUCCAGCUAGGACUUUUUCUCGCCUCUACGAAGUUCGCCGGCUCCUCAACUCCGAAAAGACAUAGUCCGGAGUAUUCGAGCGUAACUGACUUUGUGUACUUGUAGACUUUCUUGAGGGUCUUGUAGCGACGAGGCCCUGAGGAGUCCGUUGUGGCUUGCGAAGGAGGCGACACAAAUUGUGUCGGUGUUGAUGCACUUGAGGAAGACGGCUGAGACCUUGGUGUGUCAUCGACAUCCGUGUCGUCGGCGUAGUCGUCAUGACCGUGACCAUCAUCUUGAUUGUCGUCGUCACUAUGCGCCUCGUUGUCGAUGUUGUCGUCGAGAUCUCCGCCUGUGUCGUGCGCGGCGUUGUCGCUAUCUCCUGGCGACCUAUGCGCGUCGUCGUCGGUGUCGGCACCAUGAUGAUGACUACCAUUGUGGUCACCUUGGUUGGGCGUCUUGCCAACCACCUGGACAUCCUCCCCUGCAUCAUCAUUAGUUGGAAAUUCAACUGCAAAUAUGUUACUGUUUGGAGCAUCGGUGGCUGCGGCGCUCCAAUUCCACGCUUGGUUUUCUUCAAACACGACGUCGCGUGAAAUCCGUAGACGCUUGGUUUGUGGAUCGUAGAAACGGUAUGCCUUGGUGCCAGAACUGCUCUCGUAUCCGAUGAACACCAUCUUGGUGCUACGAUCGGCAAGCUUUGAGAGGUGCGGCUCCGCCGUCUUCACAUGUGCCACGCACCCGAAUGUCCGUAGAAGAGACACAUUCGGCUUACGUCCGUAAAUUGCUUCAUACAGAGUCUUGCCGAUCACCGCCUUCGUUGGAGCCCGGUUGAGAAGAUAGACCGCCGUCGAGACAGCUUCUCCCCAAAAAGUCCCCGACAGGUUCUUGCUCUUGAGUAAACUCCUUGCCAUGUCAACGACGGUUCGAUUGCGCCUUUCAACGACCCCAUUCUGCUGCGGCGUGUAAGGUGCCGUGAGGAACCUCUUUAUGCCAAUCUUCUCGCAGUAGUCGUUGAACUCAUUCGACGUAAACUCUCCGCCGCGAUCUGUCCGUAGAGCGCGAACCUUCAGCUUGUGUUCCAUCUCUGUUGCAGCCUUUAAUUUCUUGAACGCUUCAAACGCCUCAUCUUUAGAUCGUAGGAGAAUGACCCACAUAUAUCUCGAGUAGUCGUCUACCACAAGGAAGAAAUACUUCUUUCCAGCGUGAGUUGCCGGGGUGAUAGGGCCACAUAGAUCACCAUGGAGCAGCUCGAGUGCAUCACUUGCACGAUAGGUAGACUGAGCAGGGAAUGGCCUGCGGUGCUGUUUUCCAACCAAGCACCCGUCACAUACUCGAUCAACAUGGUCGAUAACUGGCAUCCCGGAUACCAUCUGCAUCUUUGACAUCUUCUUCAAGGCGUAGAAGUUAACGUGUCCAAAUCUAGCAUGCCAUAACCACGAAUCAUCAUCACUCUUGGCAAGCCAACACUCCGGUUGAGAUUGAUCAAGGUUGAGGAUAUAGAGCCUAUUCCGUGAGCGAUUAACACGAGCUAGCACGUUUCGGAGGUUGUCGAAGAUCGUCAUCACUCCGCUCUCUAUAUUCACCUUGCAUCCAUUCUCGUCAAGCUUCCCAAUAGAGAUGAUGUUGUUGCGCAGCCGUGGGAUGUAGUACACUCCGGUGAGUAUGCGAUGUUCGCCUGUGAGACCCUCAAAGAGGACAGAUCCUUGCCCGCAAAUCUCCACAGCUGAACCAUCACCGAACUUGACCGAGCCUUCAACAUCGUAUUCCAGCUCGAGGAAUUUCUCCUUGCACCCCGUCAUGUGGUUACUGGCACCCGUGUCGAGAUACCACGACACGUUCUGAUCACCGGAUAACUUUGGUGUCACUUUUUCCUCAUGAAGUAGCACCUUCCGGCUUGGUUUCACAACCACCGUUUCAGCGAGAUCACAAACUUCGGCCAUCAGAAGACCUGGACCUUCGUCUUCCUGCUUUGCCAAAUUUGCCUUGAUCUCCCGCUUGUUAGGCUUUGGACAAUCCUUCGCAAAGUGACCCAUCUUAUUGCAGUUAUAGCACUUGACCUCGGACAAGUCCAAGUUCCGUGGUUUCUGCUCUUUAGAUUGUCCCGCCUUACCACGACCUUGUGGUUUGCCUUUUCCUUUGCCUUUUCCGGUUUGUCCAUCGCCCUUCGUGUUGCUUGAGCCUUCGCCACCGUCACGCCUUCCUUUGCUACUUGGGGCCUCCCAAUCUGUGCGCGAGUACAUGAGUUGGUCACUACCUCCUCCUUUGCCUUUCCGACAGCCACGAGCAUUCUCUUCCCAUGUCCGCAAUCGUCCGAUCGCCUCCGUUAUGGUCAUGUCGUCGAUGUCGUAAAGCUGCUCGAGCGUGCCGAUGAUGUACGUGAAUUUAUCAGUGACUGAACUGAAAAACUUCUCCACGAUCUCGGUCUCAUCGAGCUUUGCACCAAGCGCGCGGAUCUCUCCCACCAAAGUAGUAAAACACAUGGCAUAGUCGUUCACCGAUUCAGUUUCCUCCAUCUGCAACUUGUGAAAUUGGCGCUUCAGCACUUGUGCCCGAGCCUUGGUGACGCGAUCUUCUCCGAUCCUCAUCUCCUUGAGUGUGUUCCACGCCUCUCUUGCCGUCUCGAACUCCGCCAAUGUCAUCAGCACAGAAUCCGGCACAGACUGGGCUAUGGCGGCCAUGGCACCUUCGUCGCGCUCCGUGUCGACGUCGUCGUCCGUGAUGGCCUCCCACACUCGAAGGGAUCGAAGAAUAAUCUUCAUCUUCACCGCCCACACGCCGUAGUUGGCGUCGGUGAGCAUCGGGUACUGGAUGGGGAUGUUGCGAUGCGCCUGAACGUUGGCGCCGCUCGUUCCUCCAUCAUUGGUUGCUGACUUGACGCCCUUCUUCACCUUGUCGCCGUUCUUGUUCGCCUUGGCAUCGCCGCUGCCGGACUCGACCGACUCAGCGUCGUUGUCCGUCAUCGUAGAUCGUAGAUCGUCGAGGCUCUGAUACCAAUUGUUGGCUUUUGAACGUGCGUAUGCAGCUGUACAGGCGUGCCUACGCGAUUCUUGCUUCGGCCGGCUACUUGACGGAACUUGCGUAACUAGCGACACGAAUAAAACUGAUCGAUGGAUUUGAUGGCUAAAGGCCCGUGUCGAGCCUUUGCUUUGUAUUGCUUUUCGUUUUUCUGAUGUUACAAUCAACACCCCUAGGGUGUCUUUUAUACACGUCCACAAGGGACUAUGGAAAUAGACUAGGACUAGGAAUCCUAAUACUACUAGGACUCGGUUUGGCUUUCUUUCCUAAUCCUACAUGAGCAACAUGAUUAACAUCUACANNNNNNNNNNNNNNNNNNNNNNNNNNNNNNNNNNNNNNNNNNNNNNNNNNNNNNNNNNNNNNNNNNNNNNNNNNNNNNNNNNNNNNNNNNNNNNNNNNNNUCUGUGCCUUCGUGAAGAAGUUCGCUAGCUAGAACUCGAAAGGCACAUACUGAAGAGCAAUAACAUGAUCAUGCACAGCAGCGCACACAUAAUAAGCAUCAACACCAAUCUGUUUGGUAAGCUCAUGCUUCACGGGGUCCCAUGCAAUACUGAUAGCACCUGUACUGUCGGACAAUAGGGUGGUAGGUGUAGUAACGAAAACACAAAUAACCUCCAAUAGUUGUCGUAACCAAGUCACCUCUGCCGUCAGAAGAGCCAUAGCUCUCAACUCAGCCUCUGCACUUGAACGAGAAACUGCAGUCUGUUUCUUCAUCUUCCAGGCAAUGAGAGAACCACCAAGAAAAACACAGUAGGCAGAAAGUGAACGGCGAUCAGAAGGAUCAUUGGCCCAUGUAGCAUCCGAAUAGGUCUGGAGCUGUAACGAGCUGGAACGAGGAAAAAAGGACGAUGAGAGAUCAUGCCACGAAGAUAUCGUAGAACACGAAGAGGUGACUAUAAUGAACUGAAGUGAGAGCGGAAACAAACUGACUCGGAAUAUGAACAUGAUAGGAGAUAUCCGGACGAGUGACAGCAAGAUAGACAAGACUCCCAACAAGAUGACUAUAACGCGUCGGAUCAGACAAGAGCUCACAAUCAAAAGCACGAAGGUUAAAAUUGAGCUCCAUAGGAGUCUGAGCAAUGCGCUCAUCACUAAGAGCCGCACGGGAAAGAAGAUCCUGGAUAUACUUUUCUUGGGAAAUAGAAAAGCCAUCAGAGAUGGAGGAAACCUCAAUCCCAAGAAAGUAACGAAGGGGACCAACAUCAGACAUAAGAAACUGCUCACUGAGUCAGGCCUUGACAAAGGCAAUGUACUCAGAAUCAUCGCCAGUGAUGAUCAUGUCAUCAAGAUAUAGAAGAAGAGUGCGACCACGAGCAGAGAGGUGGACAAACAACGCUGGAUCAUCAGCACUAGGCGAAAAAACCAGCUGCAGUGACCACAGAGGUAAAACGCUCAGACCAAGCACGGAGGGCUCGCUUAAGGCCAUAUAGAGAGCGACGAAGGCGGUAAACCAUGCGGUCAAGAACUGAAUACCCAGGCGAUGGCUGCAUAUAAACCUCAUCACGCAACUCACCAUUAAGAAAUGCAUUCUUAACAUCAAGCUGAGACACAAACCAGUGACGAACAGAGGACGCAUCGAGAAGUGUGCGGAAAGUGGUCAUAUGGGCCACAGGAGCAAAAGUCUCAUCGUAAUCACGACCAUGCUACUGCUGAAAGCCAUGAGCCACAAGACGAGCUUUAUAACGCUCAAGAGAACCAUCAGAGCAAGUCUUAAUCUUAUAGACCCACUUACAAGUGAUGGGACGAACACGGGGAGGAAGAGAAACCAGGUCCCACGUGUCGUUGCGCUCAAGGGAAGCAAUCUCCUCUGCCAUCACAAACUGCCAUUCAGGAAGAACAAUAGCAUCUCGAUAAGAAGUCGGCUCAAGAAUGGUUGAAAAACCAUAGCGAGAAGGAGAAUAUCGGUCAGGGGCGGACAAAGCCAAGAAUGAAGACCAUAAGUCGGUUGACAGGAGGAAGACGACACACCAGAAGUAGAGGGCACAUCGAUAAACUUGUACACAACACGUGAACGACGAGUAUAAUGGAAUGGAAAGGGAAGGACGGAAGAGGUGGAAUAACUAGAGGUGGAGACGUGGAAUGUAUUAAUGAUGAAGGUGGAGAAGGGGAAGGUAUCGGUGAUGAAGGUGGAGAGUCAUUCAAUAAGGGAGGAGAAGAAACCGUAGGAGAGGACAGAGUCGGAUCUGCAACAGCGGGACAAGUAGGAAUACUAGGCAUAAAGAGAGGUGUAUCGGGAAACGUAAGAAAAGAGAUGUCUGUGUGGAAAAGGUCGAGGAGGAUGGACGCGGGUAGAAGGGACGAGAUUCAUCAAAGGUCACAUCCCGGGAAAUACGCAUCCGGCGAUCGACGGGAUCCCAACACCGAUAGCCCUAAUGCUCAUCACUGUAUCCAAGAAAGACACACUCAACAGGCUGCGCAGUUAGUUUGGUGCGUUCAGGAGGGGCAAGCAAAACAUAGCAAACACAACCAAACAAACGGAGCGUCAAAUAAUCAGGAGAACGACCAGAAAGACGAUGGAAAGGAAUACCACCGUGUAUAGCAGAGAUGGUUGAAUGUUGAUGAGACAGGUGAAAGUAGUAACAGCCUCAGACCAGAACUGAGGAGGAAGAGAGCCGGCGAUCAUCAUCACAUGCGCCGUCUUAAGAAGGUGAUGAUGCUUGCGCUCAGCCACACCAUUCUGAGCAUGAGCACCAGCGCAAGAGAAUUGAGUAAGAGUACCCUGCUCAGCAAGAAAUCCUCGCAGUGCAUGGGAGAUAUACUCAUCAGCUGAAUCUGUGUGAAAAACACGAAUAGGAGUGUUAAACUGGGUAUGAAAUUUUUUUGUAAAUAGAUAAGACCUCACUACGAAAAGUCAUGAAAUAAAUCCAAGUGUACCGAGAAAAAUCAUCUAUAAAGAUAAUAUAGUAGCGAUGACCCCCUUUCGAAGCGAAGGGAGCCGGACCUCAAACAUCAGAGUGAACAAGAUCAAAAGGACGCUCGGACACUGGCUCACUGUGAGGGUAGGGUAGCUGAAUUUGCUUACCAAGCCUACAACCCAGACAAUCCAACGAAGCGUUACCGGAGACAGACCCCAGAACACCGCGACGAACCAAAACAGAGAUGAGAACCACAUAAAUGGGCAAGACGAUGAUGCCACUGGUGAAAAGAACUAGUAGAUGCAGCAACAAGGGUUGUGAGACUGGCGACAGUGGCAGCAGAGGGAAGUUGAAGACAAUCAAGCUCCCAGAGACCAUCAGAACGUCGAGGGCCAGCACCAAGUAGAGCGCCUGUGCGACGAUCCUGAACAGAACAAGAAUCAAAGUCGAGAAUGACCCUACAACUACAGUCAACAAUUUGACCACUAGAUAUGAGUGGCAUGCUAAGUCGAGGAACAUGAGCAACAAAGGGAAUAUGAAAUGAAGAAGUGCUAAGAGUGCCUCAACUAGCUACAGGAGGGGAGUGCCAUCAGUAGUAAGAACAUGAACAGGAGACUCAACAGGUCGAACGGAGGUCAAAGUGGAAGAAUCAUAAGUCAUGAAAAGACACUCCAGUAUCAAGAAUCCAUGGGGAUGUACCUGAAUGAGUAGAUGGUGGUUUCUCGGUGCCAGAAGAGUCAGUCACGAAAACUACAGAACCUGUCGGUGAAGAAUCCCAAGCAUCAAGCAAUCAUCUCAGCUGCGCAAUCUCCCACGCAGACAGGGACAUGACAGAAGAGGUCAGGGUAGAAACACCCGUGGAAAACAACGAUGAGCAGUCACCACCUCCUGUGGAAGCUGCGUGAAGAGUCAACUAAGAGCAAGUCGACAUAGAGCCGCAUGAGGAAGCCACCUGGGGAAUCCACGUAGAUCGGUCACCACGGCGCGCGGAAACCGGAGGUGUCGACAUAGAGCGGUAACCCCCUUGCGUGAAAGUCGCUCAAGCAGACGGAGAAGCACCAAGUACCGAUGGAAGGCACAUGCGUGAAACAGGAUCAGUGUAGGGAACACCGUCAAAAAUCACCGGAUGAGGAGACAAGGCCCGACCGUAACAUAAUGCCUUUUUUUAAACACUCUUUUUUUUUACUCACGAGCUAAGGAACCUUUCGGGUCAACUCCUGAUGGGAUCGACGGGGCAAAGAAGCCAACGCGCUCGAGGCGACUAACGCCUAACGAGGACCACAGUAGGAAGAAGACAAAAACGAUCGGAUAAAGACGCGAUCUGAAGCAAAAGACACAUGGACAUGAA